Molecule: long non-coding RNA, 65915 nt
Filed under: Triticum aestivum (bread wheat)
Lineage: Eukaryota; Viridiplantae; Streptophyta; Magnoliopsida; Poales; Poaceae
Description: long non-coding RNA (TAES_LNC012702)
Source: RNAcentral
GGUCCUUGGGUUGCAUCCUCUUCCUACCUCAGGCUAUGUGUGGAGUGGGGGUGCCCGAGAACAUGCUGAAAAUGGUUGCGCCGGUCGAUCUACAUGUCGUAUGUACUUAAUCUGUCAAAAGUAUGUCGAUCCGAGUGUCGCUAGUUUGCACCGUGUGUGGAUUACAGCCCUUUCCUUCUUUUUUUGCUCUGGUGAUGUGUAAGUAAUUACAGAAUAUGGAGUCAACUCUUUGCCUGUUUGCACUGUCAUGCUACAUGUAUGAUAACUACUACUAGUAGUAUACUUUGGAAUGCUUGCUACUACAAGUUCAUUAUUUUUCUCCUGGGGUUUUGGUUACCGGUAGACAGGAGUUUACUUGAGCGCUUAUCUGGGGCAGCCGCGAGCGCGACACGCGUCCCGCCCGCGGCCAAAAGGACAGGUCCAAAACCGAAAUAACAAUGCAGCUGCUGCAUUGUGUAAGCAUAGUUUUUAGGCCAAGACUUGAGGUCAGCGGGUGGUUUAGUCGCGCGAUUAACAACUGGCGCGGCGCAAUUAUUGAGGCCAAGAUGCCCUAAUCGUGUGGGAACGGGCGCGGGACACCUGUCAUUAGCAUAGAUAAUUGCACGCAGCAGCCAAUCUUAAUCAGAGGCACGACCCUCAUUUCUUUACCAGCAGCACCAGAUACAUGCAUAUGAACAACCCUUAAUCUACUACUGCUGCCUGCUGUGGAUGCAGCUGAUUAGUGCCUGAUUUGCAUUUUGCAAUUGUUAGGGGUGUGUUAGAUGUGUCAUGCACACCACCCCAUUUGAAGUUUGACAAAGCUUAGGUUAUCCAUCCCUGGGGGAUGUGCCACCAUGCUGAUUGAUUAGUGGGCAGUGCUUUGUGGAAAGAAAGGGAAAAAAAGAGAGAGAGAUUAGGGGUUUGCAUACUUAAUUAACUGCUCGCAUUUGGCUUUUGCCCUGUCCUUUUCCUUUUCAGAUUGGAGUGGGGUGGAGGCAUAUGAUAUGAGCAUGGCAGGAUCUUCACUGUACUUUGCAUAUCUUGUAUAUCUAUCUAUAUAUGUAUUUGAUGCAUCUCAGGCAUGGACCACAUGAGUUAGGCGUGCAUCUGUAUGAUUUUGUUCUUCUCCCCAAAUCAACUGUUGCUUGGACAUGCUACGCUGUGUAAUUAAUCAAAUGUGAUUUCAGUGGAAUAGCGAUGUUAUUGUCAAUUUCUGCAACAAUUAUAUCUAUCUAUUGAAUAAGUUUUUUUGCAUGGUAAUACGUGUCUCAUUUAUAUAGAAUAAAGAUCAAGUUACAAGGCACGUAAGCACCGACGAUACUAGAUUGAAACGAUAGGAAAAUCCUAUGCAAAAUUCCAACGUCUGUCCCUCACCUUCGACACCACCGAAGCGGACACCAAAGGGUAAAAAGACAGAUCACCUCUUCACCCAAGCUCGACGCGGCUCCAUCGCUGAUCAGCAACUUUGCGGACCUCCAAAGUGGUUUUCCAGAAGCAAAACCAUAGCCGUUGAAAGAAUCAGACCGGGGCAACAUAUACCCGGACAUGCCAUCAAACUUCAGAACUGACACCCCCGCAUGACGACGACGUCGGAGGAGGAAAGCAGAACUGUCAGCCUUCAACCACAGACCCAACACAAGAUUCUCCAUCUUCCAGCUGUCACUUGCGUAGACAACCGCCUGCGCGUACUCCUGAACGACAAAACCUCCCUGCUCCACCAUGACGUCGGAGACAACGCCAUAGCAACGGGGACAGAGCAGAAGGAGAGACACACCUGAUGGAGUCGUCGCCGCCGCCUCGCCAACACCAUCCAUGAACCCUAACGCUGCCGAUCUGAAGGAUCGGCAGAGACACGAUGCCAUCAACUCCGAGACGCCGCCGUGAAGGGCACCGCCGGUAUGGGAGUGAAGCUGAGGCAGAUUUAUUCGUCUGUGCGUCGCUCCCACCACCCCAACGACGCACCACGACCUACAAAUCCAAAACCUAACUACAGAGCGGAGGAACGGGGUCCCCCCUCCCUCCUGCCACCGGAGCAGCGGCUGGAGGGAGAGGGGGCCAACGCACCGGCCGGUGGAGAUCGGUGGAAGGAGAUCGCCUCCCUAGUCGCCUGGCUGUUGGCGGCGGCUAGGGUAGGGAAAGCGCUGUACGUAUUUGUUCGUGCAUCUAUUGAAUAAGUUUCCUACUCCCUCCGUUCCAAAUUACUUGUCUUAGAUCUGUCUAGAUACCGUAUCUAGACAGAUCUAAGACAAGUAAUUUGGAACGGAUGUAAAUUUUUAUUUAUUUAGAUGAAACAAGAAGAUUUGAUUAUGUUGUGAAAGUAUUUUGCUGGAAUGACUUGGGCUUACACUGAGAAUUUCUAGAGCAUGUUGUUUACACCGGGUACAUCUUAUCCAACCAAGAUCACAAUGAUUAAUUUCAUGAAAUAUGUUAUGAUUAACGGGAAUCUUAUGUCAUGAAGUUCGCCGAUUUGUUAAAGCACGUAUAUAUUUCAGCAUCACCGAACAUCAUCAUCUGUUUGUUGGCAUACAGAGAGAUCUAACAUAAAAAGCAUACAUGAUUUUUUAUACGCUGCCAUGAUUAGUUAAAGCAUGCCUACCUGCAGGUAGCUUCAAAAAUCUCAUUACUCUGCCAGCCUGAAGUACCCUUUGUAUAUCUUGCCUACCUGAGUACUGAAACGUUGAAUAGGCGCUUAAUUAUCUCUAGGCCUCAACAACAUAUUUGGCAAUAAAUUCCAUGACAUUAUAUAUAUAGAUGUACUAAUAUAAACUCAUGUUGGAAUAAGUGACCAGUAGUUGAAGUCCUUGACUGCUCUAUGCAUAUAUGUAGGACAUGUUUAAUUAAGAGUUCCAAGUACUGGUUGAAGAUGUUCUUCAUGAACAUGUCAUCUGAUUGAUUGAUUACUUUGUCUCCAACUAACGGGAAACAUCAAACGGAAUAAAACUUGUGCGCAUUAUUGUAGAAUGCAUAAUGAUAUUCUUGUCAUUAGUUGACAACGACAAUAAAGGGUAUCAACAAUUGCAACUAAUCUACUUUGUGAAGCUUCUCUUAACAAAAUGAGAAGUCAUAACUGACGCCUAAAUAAAUAUGUGUACCAUUGGCAAAGUGCACACAGAUAUCCCGCAAUAAUUUCUAUACUCAGAACCUAAGACUUGUACCUAGUUAAUUAACAGGUCAGAAGCAUGUAAGGGUAUAAUCAUUGCAUCAGAACAAAUUCAUGGGAACAAACUCCCGAGGUCAAAUUUAUUUAUUUUCUUCGGAAACAAAUUUUAGGUUGAAGAUUAUACGAUUUCAUCUUGACACUGCAAACGGCAAUUGUCAGUUAAUUAAUUCAUGUGAAGAAAUAUAUCACUUAAUAUGGACCCAGGGAAGAAAUAUGUUAAUUAAAUCAGUUUGGCUGCAAGCGAGGCUGGUUUUGUUUAGUUGGGAUGUCGGGAGCUUUGUGAAAAGGACAUGCACCGUACAUGCACCCCACCAGCCACCCCCACGCACACAAAAACCCUAAUACCCAACUAGACACAUAUUUCCAUCUAGCACAAUCCUAAUUACCAUCCACAAUACAAAAGAAAAACACUAUGCCCACCCCACCCUUAUCAUGUACCAUCCCAUUUCAGGACAAACCAAACCUACAAGCUAAAGUAGUAUGGUGGUAGGAAGCCGAAAAUGUGACGAUGGGUAAAUUGAUCAUUUCACAUGAGAGCGCUAGCUACUGUGGAUCGACCUAUUAGAUUCUUACUCGUCACAACUUACACAUAUUAACAAUCAGCGGACAUGCCCAGUUCUCUCAGCCACGAAUAAAGGGGAGAGAAACUUUAGGGAUUAUUUUGCACGCCUACCGAACGGCGCACCGCCACCUCAGUAGGGGACCAGUCCAAGUGUGCGAUAUAGAAGAGUUUAUGUGGAGUAAAGAAACGAAUAGGGACCGGUUCGCUUACACGAAUAAAAAAAGCCCUACUCCAGAGUGAAAUUUUAACGUGUACCGGGGGAUUUGAAUAUAGCCCGCGAUUUGAAUUCACAUGGGCAAUAGGGGACCAAUGGCCAGCCAGAUCAAAGCGAAAUCCGAAAAACCCCUUAGUAGGAGCAUGCUUGGGGGGUGGUGGGGGUGAGCUUAGAAGGGUGCACCUUGGAUAAAAGGCUCCCUGCUUAAUUAAUUAUUGUUGAUUAGUUUAUAGUGGCACCCAAAGUCUCUCCCCAGCCUCCAUCAACCCUCUUUAUCCUCCUCCUCCUUUCUUAUACCCACUUGCAUGCCUCCUCCUCCCUCUACACACUUCAGAGAAAGCCACAGCUCCCCAAUGCUCCUCUAGCUACCUCAUUAUCUCUCUCUCUCUCUAGCUAGCUAGCUAGACUAGAUCACAGGUGCAACUUGGUCUCCUAGAUUCAUCUUCAAGGUAUGCAAAUUGAAUAUGUGCUUGUGUUUGUGCAUUAGAUCUCCCCAAAUAUUUGUAUCCUUACAAAAAUCUCUUCCUCCUUUCUGCCCUUUUCUUAUUGUGAGAGGAGAGGGUAGAUAAAUUCAUUCAUCUUGCUGUUUUUCUUGUGUGUUCUGCUUGUGUGGAUAUGGUGGAAGGAAGCUUACAUGAUCUGUGUGUGUUUGUGUUGUGCUUGCAUGUGGUGACCGAAGACUUCAUGGCGAACCGGUGGUGGGACGGCCAUUUGGGGCUGCCGGGCGUCGCGCCGGAGCAGCCGUCCGGCUCGUCGGGCCCCAAGGUCGAGUCGCUCGCGCUCGUUGUCAAAGAUUCUGAGACCAGCCCGACGUCCGGUGGCGGCGAGCACGCGGACGAGAACAAGGACGCUGUCGGUGGCGGCGAGCCGCGCGAUCUGGGCGCGGUGGUGCCCGCCCCGAACCGGCGGCCCCGGGGCCGGCCGCCGGGGUCCAAGAACAAGCCGAAGCCGCCCAUCUUCGUGACGCGCGACAGCCCCAACGCGCUGCGCAGCCACGUGAUGGAGGUGGCCGGCGGCGCCGACGUGUGCGACGCCAUCGCGCAGUUCUCGCGCCGCCGGCAGCGGGGCGUGUGCGUGCUCAGCGGCGCCGGGACCGUGGCCAACGUGGCGCUGCGCCAGCCGUCGGCCCCCGGCGGCGCCGUGGUGGCCCUCCACGGCCGCUUCGAGAUCCUCUCGCUCACGGGGACCUUCCUCCCGGGGCCCGCGCCGCCGGGGUCCACGGGGCUCACCGUGUACCUGGCCGGCGGGCAGGGGCAGGUGGUCGGCGGCAGCGUGGUGGGCUCGCUCGUCGCCGCGGGCCCCGUCAUGGUGAUCGCGUCCACGUUCGCCAACGCCACCUACGAGCGCCUGCCGCUGGAGGACGAGGACGAGGGCUCGGGCCCGCCGAUGGCGCACGACCCGCUCAUGGCCGGCGGCGUCCACGUCCACGGGCACGGGCACGGGAUGCCCGACCCGUCGGCGGCGAUGCCGAUGUUCAACAUGCCACCGAACAACGGGCAUCUCGGCGGCGGCGGCGGCGGCGGCGACGGGUUCCCAUGGGCGCCGCACUCCCGCGCUCCCUACUGAUGGCGCGCACGGCAAUGGCGAAAUGGCGUGGUGCACUGCAUGCUGCAUGGUUACUGUUCCAUUGGAGUCACUUGGCGCCAUUAGCUAGGUUAGUACAUAUGACGAUCCAAGCUAUCUAGUGGUGAUUAAUUAGAGCGAAUUCGUACUGCUACUUAGUUUCUUAUAUGUUGUUAUGGUCAAAUAAUUUUCUAAUUUGCUGGUGUGUUUAUUGUUGUCUACUACUGAAUUAUCAACUGAGCUAGAGAUAUAGCUAGCUCUGGUCAAUUCAUGCAAUGUUUGGUUAAUUCAUCAUGGAAUUAAUGUUCAGUUCCUCAUCCAUCCGUGAUCCGUCGAUCGAUAUAUAUAUAUAUAUAUGCUUAAUUUCUCUAAAUGGUUAGGGGUGAUGAACUUCAAAAUUCAGAGCAAACUUUUGUUUGUUCUCUUGUUUGGAUUUGUUUACUGCCACUUGUUCUUCUAGUCCCUACUCCCUAGCAUGUGAUUGUUGCUAAGUUAUUCCCAAGGAACACACGCAUUCAUACAUGCAUGAUAGUAAGUUAGUAACCAGUAUAUAGCACAACACUUUUAGUACUGUGGCUAGUUUGUUGAUCAAGUAUAGUUAGUAAGUAGCUUGGUGUCAGUUGGUCCCAGAUCUCUCAUGCUGUUUCGAUCCAGUGCAAGCUCUUUACAAUGGUCCCCCAUAUUUUUUUAGUUUGAACUUAAUUUGAUUGGGUACCGCGACGAAUGCGAAGGUGCAUCUGUAGCUCGUCCGCGACGGCAAUGGAGAUCUAUAGCACAAGUGGCAAUGUCAUGUGCAUGCAUCGUUACUGUUCCAUUGGAUCAGAGAAGCAGAUAGCUCGAUGUGCGGAUUUUCACACGCAAUUAGCUAGGUUGGCGCCUAUGGUUGAUGAUCAGAUGAUGAUUAAUUAGGCUCAUGCGUAGUCGUGCCCCGUUGUUAUGGUGAAACAGAAAAUUAGUGGAAUGUUUGUGUGUUCGUUAAUCGUCUACUUAGUUAGCUGAGCUAGCCAACUAUAGAUCGAUCAUAUUGGAUAAUAACUGGAGAUAUAACUAUCUCAGUUGGAUCAAUUUCAUGCACUUUAUGUUUGGUUCCUCGUUUGUCGAUCCACAUAUAUGCUUAAUUUCUCUAAAUGGUUAGGGGUGAUGAACUGCAAAAUUCAGAGCAAACUUUUGUUUGUUCUCUUAUUUGGAUGUGUUUCUCGUUACUUGUGCUGUUCUCUAGCAUAUGGUUGUUGCUGAAUUAUCCAAAACACCAUCAUUUAUACGUGCAUGAUGUUACUACAUAACACAACACUUUUAGUGCAGUGAGUUUGUUGAUAAGUCUAGUUAGUAAGUAGCUUGGUGUCAAUUGGUCCCAGAUCUCCCACACUAUCAUCUCUGAAUGCUAGCUCUUUUUAUUGGUCCCCCAUGUUUCCGAAUUUGAACUUAAUUUUCUUGGAUACCGCAAUGAAGGUCAAGGUCAACUAGCCAAGAAAAUCUCUAGCAGCUGUGCAUCUCCGCGAUGUGGCUAUGGCAUGUGUGUGCGUGGUUACUUUUCCCUUGCAUUGGAGGAGAUAACCUGAUCGCGCCAUAUGCUAGGUUAGUACAUAUAUAUGAUCCAUGAUCAAGUGUGAAUUAAGUAGCGCUCUUGUGUACUCGCGCUACUUUGUUAUGGUGAAAUGAUAAGUGAAAAUGUUUGUGUGUUAGUAAUUGUAUGCUUAAUUGAUUUAGCUGGCUAGAUAGAGAUCGGUCAUAUUGCUAGGUCAGAUCAGUUCAUGCGUGCAAUGUUUGGUUCGUGAACUACCAUGAUUCAUGUUGAGCUGAUUUCUAGGUGGUCAAUUUUUUUUCUCUACCAUGGGGCAAGUGCGGUUCAGACUUAACUGUGUUAAGUCUCUUAACUGUGUUAAGUCCCUCCUCCCUCGUCCCUUUCUUUGAAUCUACUCCAUCCGUUCCUAAAUAUAAGUCUUUUCAGAGAUUUGAAUAUGGACUACAUACAGAUGAAUAUAGACAUACCCGUUUUGCUCCGUAUGUAGUCCAUAUUAGAAUAUCUAGAAAGACUUAUAUUUAGGAACUGAUGGAGUAUUUCCUACAAACAUGUGUUUGUGAUUAUAUAUAACUAAGUUAUUGCUUGGGACUCGUGUCCAUACAUGCAUGCUAAUUAACAAAACAGAUGAUUUUAGUGAAGAACACUUCUCUGACCCUUCGAUAGUAAAGAUUAAGUAGCUUGGCUCCGUUGGCCCCAGAUCUGAGACUGUCUCGAGUGAUCUGAUUAUUGGUCCCCCAUUUUCUCCAAACUUGAACUUUGUUAAUUUGGAUGUCGCAGAUCAAGAGGCGAAUUAAGAAAAUCCCCACCACAGGUGCAUCUACGCAAUAUUUUAGAUCUAAUAGUGUAAAUUAAGUUAGGAGAGCACUAAGUAUUAUCAGUAAACUGAAUUAUAUGUGCCCUCUAGCAAAGCAACCAUUAGUUCUUAAUAUCACUGCUGAACUUGCAUGCAAUAUGCAUGCCCAGUUAGCUCUACACAGUCCUGGACUAGUUGGCUUAUAUGCUUUUAUUGUAGUAAUAGCUUGUGUCAUUCCAAUGAAUUUGAUAGCUAAACCUUUUGGCGUUUUUUCUUGUAGAUACCAUUUGCUUAUUUUGUGUUAAUUGAAUCAAUUUUAAUUUGUCCAUCUUUGCAAGAUCUAGCUACCAAUUUAGCGAUGUUAUUACCAUGAUGUUUAUCAUCACGUUGGACUAGGUUAGUCUUCAAACAAAAUAUGCUCAACACUAAUGUGAGAGAUUUCAUGUUUUUCAAACAAGAUCUUUCGGAUCCCAUACUAUAAGGACCGACUAAUUACGAAGCUAUCAUAUACCAAAUACAUUGCAAUAUUAAUUGGGGAGGGUAGAUUAGUGUUUUGAACAUAGUUGAUGCAUGUAUGGAUCAAAUAAAACACGAUUAACCAACUAAGCUAAAUUACAGUAACAAUUGGUGUGUUGUGGUUAUUAUGCAUGGUGAUAUGAAAGAUGUCUAAUAUGGAUUUUUUAUAUAUGAGAGUACACUACUGGGGAAACCAUAGUAGCAAUGCAGGGUAAUGGCCUACCAGUAGCGCGAGGACCCGCGCUCCUGCUAGCGCGCUACGGCUAACUUUUAGCAGUAGCGAGGGGUUGAACCCUGCGUUGCUGCUACUUCUGGUAGCAGUAGCGUGGGGUAGGACCCACGCUACUGCUAGUUACCUGUAGUGCGGGCCAGGACCCAGUGAUGGUACUAAUUUUAUGUAGCAGCAGCGCGGGCCCCACGUUGUUGCUACGUUCUUACCCCGCGCUACUACUAGUUUUUCUCUAAAAAAAAUUCUUCUGGCUACACAUACAUGGUAUUUGGAGCACGGGUGCAUUGGAGUACCUUAUUUUAAAUAGUUUAAAAAUAAUAUUUAAAUUUUCAAAGAAUUCUGAAAAGAAUUCUACAUGAUCAUAUGCAUGUAUAUUACACACAUGUAAAGUUUGAUGAUGGAAUAAGUAAACAUGUGAGAUAUACUAAAAUGACAAAGUGUGAUAUCUAAGUAGUGAAUAAUACAUGCACUGUUCAUCUUUCCAAAAUCAUGAUUUUUAUCAUUUUUGUGCAACUCACAUGGUUACUUAUUUCAUCAUCAGAAUUUGCACAUGUGUAAUAUAUGUUCAUAUGAGCAUGUUACAUUUUUUUCAGAAUUUUUGAAAACUUCAAAAUACAGGUCCGACACUAUUUAAAUAUAGGGCUCACUGGAGCUCAUGCACCAAAAUGACUUUAUGUUUAUUUACUAGCAUGCAUGGCUCUUUCUUGCCAAGGUGCAACGGUGCAAAGCUAGUAUCUUUUGACAAUGAAACAAGAAUAUUAAAAAUAUAUGUUUCAGCAAUAAUUUAAGAACCUAAUUAUUUUUUAUAAAACCAUAUAUCUAAUGGUCUAACUAACUCAAGAAGCUAAAUCUACAUACAAUGGAAUCAUCAUGUUCGUCCAUACAAGACCACUGGCUGCGGAUAUUCUUCAAACUUGAUUUUUUUUCAUGUUUAUCAUGUAGGAGUUAUCAUAUUAUCCAACCGGCGAGAUGUUUUGCUCAACAGUUUAUAUUUUAUGCAUAUAUUUAUCUCUAAAAUGAUAGUAUUUAUUCAAUAAUUAACAGAGCGCUUAAAUGUGCGGUUAUUUUUCAUUUGCCUUACAAAUAACAAAAUCAUUGAUAUAAGUUGCAUGUUUUCAAGUGUUGAUCCUUUUUUUAAACUCUGAGAUUCAGCUGAUUUGUUGAGUGUAUCCUAUUUGUACUUGCCUAUGGAAAACAUGUAUUUUUUUCUUCUGCUAGAAAAAUGAACAAUGCUCCUAUAGACUAUAGUGCAUUUGAAAUACUGUGCUUGCCUUCGUCCAAAAACCUCUCGGUGAAGAUUGGUUGUGAUAUAUAGAAUGUGAUCGGGAAGGAUGAUGGUGGAGUACAAAUUGCAUGAUUUUCACCAGACAUGGAGUUUUAAACUCGAGCUCACAUGAGCUCGAUUGAACGGUAAAUCCAAAAAAAACUAUUUUUUAAACUGAUUUUUUUAGAGAAACAGCUCGAGCUCACAAUUGCACUUUCGGGCUUUCACCUUGAUACUAAUAGUCUAGUUGUUGGAGUAACUAUAUAAGACUAUGGCCAGUUAUAAUCUUAGCACACAUGCAUGGAUCGAUAGAUGUAGUCGACUGAUUGGACAUGGUAACUUAAGAAAACCAAAACAAACUACGCGGAUAGGUUAUCGAAAAACCGCCACCUUUAUUUUCUACACAUAACCACCACUAUCAGUAUCAAGGUGACCUAGAGGGCAAGGUCAUGACAUAAAGCACUGAUCCAUGGCUAAGUAUGUUUUGAUAGCGACUAUGACUUAUGGGUAUCGGGGCACACGGUGGCUACUAUAGUGCAUAACAAAAAAUUCGACCACGCAACCAAGAACAUACUGUUGGGUGUAGAUCACGGGAUCAUAUUUUACCACUGGAUACACAAUCAAGGCACCGGAAGGAAAGUAGCGAUGUGCGUCCCUAUCUCCUGCUUGUGGAUCCCUCGUACAGUUCUUCAUGGUUCCUCAAAUGGUUCGUCAGAGUGUCGUAGGUGCAACGUCUCCAAGGUAUCCGCAUGUGCAGGGAGGAACGUUGGACGUCAUACUGCUAGAUCCGAUCACAUGAUGUGAGAGCAUGGAAGUGGUGGCGGCUAGGUCAUGAGAGUGGUCAAGCCCUUUCGAGGAUAUCACCCCUCCACCGGGCCAGCACUUGUGGCCCAUUAGGAUUCCACACCCAAUUUUGAAUCAGAUCAAAACUGAAUGGUCUCCCGUUGCUUAAGCGCACGACCCCAUAGGUUCACAUACAAAUGGAGAUGACCCGAGUCGAUAGCUGGUGAUGGCUCCUGGGAGAACAUGCCAACUCUCAUGUGUGCGCAAAGUCAUAUUGAUGAACCUUGAUAAUGUGUCAUAUGCAACAUUUCUUUUGCCUCACGAUAUAUGUUGUCAAACUCAAGGCGAGUACUUGUCACCUUUGUAGGUAGAUCGACCUCUCUUCUCGUCAAAAUCGUGAUACAGAUUCCUGAACCAGGUUAACACUUAACCCAAGUCGCAUGGUUAUGCUUUUCUGAAUCUGAUCACUCGAGAGGGCUGAGUGAAUAUAUCUCCUAAUUGAAGGGGCAAAUCUCAUCUUGGUCAACCAUGCUUUGAUGCAUGUCUCACAACUCACCCAAAAGCUAUCUUUAAACUACUCAAUUAUGGAGUAGCGUUUAACAGACCCUAAGUGACUCGGUCCUCAUCCCGCGAACAUGCGAGUACCUCAAGUCCAGGACAUGGCUAUACAUUCUACAUGAAAAUAACAUAUGAUAGUAUCUCACUGUGUCAUGGGCUAUCCGACUUGAUUAUCCCUAUCCCCGAGUCCAUACUAUCGGGUUAACAUAUCUAUGCCCAUGACUUGUAAAGCAUAGUCAUCAUCUGAAUAGUCAAAAGGCAUGUGUUUGUAUAACCUUAUCAACUAGGAACCGUUCUAAGAAUCAUCAUACAACAUAUAGUUUCACAAAUAGGUCACAUACUUAUUGAUACAUAUCAGUGAUGAUGUUCAAAGACAAUACAAAUAACUCGUGAAUACAUAAGAAAAUAAUAUCGUCACAUGAUUGGCUCUAGGGCAUAAUUUUCAAUAGUGGAACCCGACUGUCAGGGCUGAGUUGAGAACUUAUGUGUACAAUAUAUAAGCCGAGGUGGACAUAGGGCCUAAUUGUCCGCUUUGCCUUCGUCUCAUAUCUCUUAUGUUUCUCCCUCCUUGUCAGAUAUCUUCCGCCGAUGUUGUGCCAUACCGAGUCCAGACCAGUGAGCCUGUUUGUAUCCCUUGGAAAAUGCGACGUAAAUAAAAGCAAGCUAGCUCCUUUUUCUAUUUCCUUGUAUUACUCCCUCAGUAAAGAAAUAUAAGAGCGUUUAGAUUGGCUAUAUGCUGGUUAUUGCGACCAAUAACCGGUAGCCCGCGUGCCUGCAAGGGCAACUCGGUGUGGUCCCCUCACUUCUUUCUCUUUUUGUUCUUCCCUUUUUAUUUUUCCUAUUCAUUUUUGGAGGUUUAUUUUCUUUUCUUCCCUUUUUUGAUUUACAUUUUUUAAAAUAUGAUAUUUUGGCCAAGACACGUGAACAUUUAAGAAAAAUAUCUGAACAUUUUAACAUAGGUGAACUCCUUUUAAAAUUACAUAAACAUUCUUUAAAAAAAUCCAUGAACACUUUCUAAAAUUACAUGAACAUUUUCUAAAGUAUAAACAAUUUUUUUAGUGAUAAACAUUUAGUAACAUGCAUAUGUUUUCAAAAAUAAAAAAGCAAUACAUGUUUUUUAGUUACAUAAUAUUUUUAUAUGCAUGGAUAUUUCUACAACACACAAACAUUCUAAUUUUUUUAUUUGUUUGAUUCUAAUUUGUAAUUUAUUAAAAUUUUCCAUUAAAAAUGAGCCUGGCUAUCAGUGUGAAAUGGGUCACAUUGAUUCCGACCAUUUUUAAGGUCGUGUGUGAUCAUGUGAAAAUGCGGUCAGGCUUUUGCUGGGCCGUCACAUCUUUUAAAAACCACGAACACUUUCUAAAAUUUGAUAACAUGAGUUAGUUAUAAGCAGUGCAUAGUGUUGGAAAAUAUUAGCACUUUUCUGAUUAGACUAAUCCACGAGUAAACAGUAAGCAUGGCAAAUACAGUAUGCAUCUCAUACCGAUUCCUAGGCAUACUAGUACGUAUAGAACAUAGAAGCAAACCAUCUAUGAGCAGCACAUACACUAGUAGAAAAAGGGUCAAACGUGAAGCACAUUAGUGCCGGUUUGUAUUAGAGACGGCACAAAUGUAUACAUUAGUGCCGGUUCCAACGGCUAGCCGGGCCGCUCUCAUUAGUACCGGUUCGUGGCUAACCUUUAGCACCGGUUCGUGCCACGAACCGGUACUAAUGAGGGUGGUGGCAGGAUGUUGUCAGUCUGGGCUCCCUCCAGCACCUUUAGUACCGGUUCGUGCCACGAACCGGUACUAUAGGUCCUCCUGCAUAUAAACCCUUCGUCCAGCUCGCUUUGUUCUUCCCCCUUUCCCCUCUCCUCUCCUCUCUAUUCUUCCUCUUCUCCCCUCGAGCUCAUCACACAUUUUGCCCAAAAUUUGUCAAGAUUUGAAGGCCCCCAUCCAUUCAAGUGAUCACAAAGGUUAGCAACUUUGUCCUUUCAUCUCUCAUUGCUAGAUUAGCUCUUGCAAUGCUUUAUAUAGUUAUUAAUUUGUGAGUUUAGUAAUUUGGGAGGAAAUAUAUAUAUGUGCUAGUAUUUGAUUUAUAUGCAAUUUGAGGUCAAAAUAACACUUAGUUUGCAUAUGUAGGUGUGGUUUACUUAGUGCCUUCUAAAUCUCCGUCGUAACCACCGUCGAUCGCCCGCACCGUCCCGUCGCCGGCACCACCUUGUGGUGAGCCUCUUGUUCAUGAAAUUUUAUAUAAAAAAAUUGAUGUUUGUGUGAUUUGGAUAUAUAGUUACUCGUAUAAUAAUUAUCUUACCCGUACGUUGUUUGUUAUACAUAGUGCCAUGGUUUUGAUAUCCAUCCCCGUCGGCUCUCGUCCUUGUUAUGAUUCGGAUGUGGUAUAUUCUCUUUUAGAACUAUUUGUUGCAUUUCGUGUUUAUGACAAAUUAUGCCCAUCAAGUUGACAUAGAUAUUUUUAUCUAGGAGGUAUGUGAACCGAAAAUUCCAACCGACCCUAUUGUCGAGAGGUUAAAUUUAGUUGAAAGAGAAAACGAGUACUUGAAAGAAAAAUUGAAAAGAAUUGAGGGGGAGAAGAUGGAAUUGGAGUUGCAUGUUGCCGAUGUCGUCGAUGAUCACAAGAUCAAGAUGGAGAAAAUGCGCUUGAAGAUUAGAAAGAUUAGAAAAUAUGCCAUCGAUAGUGAGGCUUGGUAUCAUUAUGCUGUUGGAUCAAUUGUUACCUUAGUUGCGAUCUUGAUCGCAUUUGUUGUUGCAUUUAAAUGCUUUAGCUAGAGAGUUAUUUGUUUGUUGCAUUUAAGUGUUGUAUGGACUUUAUGUAUGAACUUGUAUUAAUUUGGUCUAUUCGGUGUUGUGUAAUGAAGAUGAGCCGGCAAUGGAUGUACGAUGAUCGAUGCUCUCCCCAGUUCGUUGAGGGUGUGCAUACUUUUCUGCUUGCGGCUGAGGCAAACAAGCGGGCGGAUGGUUUUAUGCCUUGUCCAUGUGCUGGCUGUAAGAAUGGUCGCAAUUACUCUACGUCAAGAACCAUUCACGUCCACCUGUUUGAGUCCGGUUUCAUGCCCCACUAUAAUGUUUGGACCAAUCACGGAGAAAGAGGGGUUAUGAUGGAAGACAAUGAAGAAGAAGAGGACGACGACAGCUAUCCUGGCCAUGGGUUCCCUGAAUACGAUGAUACAACAAUGGGGAAAGAAGUUGAGCCGGUAAUGCGGGAAGAAUCUGAAGAAGAGGCAUCAGAUGAGCCCGUUGAUGAUCUAGGUCGGGCCAUUGCCGAUGCAAAGAGAAACUGCGCAAGUGAUUUGGAGAAGAAGAAGUUGCAGCGCAUGUUAGAGGAUCACAAAAAAUUGUUGUACCCGAAUUGCGUAGGUGACAAGAAAAGAAAAGAAAAGAAAAGAAAAACUAUAGCUGAAAAAAAAACUAUAUAAAAAAACUACUCAAAAAUAAAUAGAAGAAAAUAAAUAUAGCAGAAAAGAAAAAACUACUCAGAAAUAAAUAGAAGAAAAAAUAAAGCAGAAAAGAAAAAAAUUAUAUUUGCUAUUUUUCAAUCGUUUACAAAAUGACCGUGAAAUUUAAAAUCACUACAAAAUGAACUCUGAAAAUGUUGAAUUUUGGCAAACUAGAUGAAAAACUACUCACAAAUAAAUAGAAGAAAAUAAAUAUAACAGAAAAGAAAAAACUAUACAAAAAACUACGCAAAAAUAAAUAGAAGAAAAUAAAGCAGAAAAGAAAAAAACUAUAAAAAAAAUUGGGGCGCUGCCCUGUGGGCCUGAUAGGCCACAGGUGUGUAAUUACAGGCCUUAAAGGCCCAGCAGACUCACAGGGCAGCGCACAGAGUUUAGGCCCACCAGCCUGCUAUAUAGAGGAGUUCGAAGUGGUAGUCGGGGCUGGGUUUAUAAACCAGUGCGGCUGCCCUUCGCCCGGCGAGGUGGGACUAAACUUUGGGGUGGCAGCGCGUGGCCUUUAGUACCGGGUCGUGGAACAAACCGGCACUAAAGGGGGGGCCUUUAGUAUCGGUUUGUGCCACCACCCGGUACUAAAGGGGGUCGCCUCCCGCUGCUUGGCCUGGCCAAAACAGGCCUUUAGUACCGAUUGGUGGCUCCAACCGGUACUAAAGGGGGGUCUAUAUAUACAACACGUCCGAAAAUUUCGUUUUCCCUCUCUGUUUGUUCCUCUGUUUCCGUCUCCGUCGCCGUCGCCGCCGCCCUCGAUCGUCUCCGUCGCCGCCCCCGUCCCCGUCGCCGCCCCCGUCCCCGUCGCCGCCCCCAUCCCUGUCGCCGCCGUCGUCUCCGUCGCCGCCCCGGGCCCGCCCCCGUCCCCGUCGCCGCCCUCGUCUCCGUCGCCGCCCCCGUCCCCGCCGUCGCCGUUGUCGCCGUCGCCUUGAUGAUGGUAGGCGAUUCAGCAUCAAGCUGGAUGAGACUUUCAAAUUCGAUACAGUAAGUCAUAAAGACAAGUCUGUUUUCGUAAUUAAGCAUGACUUAUAUAUGCUUCAUUUGCCUGACUUAUAAUUUUUAAUUUUCACUAUUCUACUAGCGCAUCCCCUGCCAUGCAAGAAUUUUUGUCUUGGAUAAGAUAGGUUUCAAAGAUAUGGAAACUAUGGAGGUAAAGAGAGCUUACCUGAAAACUGAGCAUGAUGGUUAUACUUUCAACGUCAAAGUAUACAAUGCACACACGUACACCUAUUUUGAAUGCAAAACUUAGCAAGCACUAUGCAAGACUUAUGCAUUUGAGCCUGGUAUGGUUAUCACCUUUGAUAUUCGUCCGAAAGAUGAUAUUGAAGGUAAUAGAGACAUAUGGGUCGAUGUGCAGACGCCUCCAGUUCUACCAUUAUGUGAGUUCUUCUCAAAUAUAUUUUUGUCUUUGAUAUUGCUUAUUUCAAAAAUAACUGACAACUAAUUUCUAUUGACAGCUUAUCUCCAUUCAACCAAACAUGUCCGGCGCUUGGUAGACAGGACCUUCUACUAUCCCGGAGUUGAACUAAACUGCGAGGAGAUAAGUCAUUAUAUUUCAUGGCUUGAGGAUCUUCAUACUGUCAAGACAAAAAAAAUUCCUGCACUUAGAAAUGUUAGUACUCAAAAUGUGCGACCAAUAGUGAUGGUAUUGAACUACGGUCACAUCUAUUUAGGAAUGAUGGUAAGAUAUUUACUAUUUGUCCUUAGUGCAUAUUUUGCAUACAUAUUUUUUUUGCUAAACUUUCAUUGCUAAGUAUAUUAAUUAAGUACUAUACGAUGUCCUUCAACAGGGACUCCCGAUGACAGUUAUGUCUCAGGGGAUCGAGACUAAAGGUCAGAUGUCAAUUGUCAGUUUACGGCCAAGAUAUCCUGCAUUGCACAUGAAUGCAUUCAGGAUUUCUAGAAGCGAUGAAUGCUUAAUAGUGAAAGAUUGGAGGAAAAUUGUUAAUGAUCGCAGAGAAGUACUAGGGGGCAGCAAUGAGAAGCGCAGCCCACGAUUAGGAGACAGGUUCAUCGGCAUGCUCCAGUAUGAUCAAUCAGGAGAGCUAUACAUGUUCUAUGCUAUUUUACCAGAGAGAGAGUAGCUAGCAGGAGUGAUUUAACUAGUUCUUCAUGCUGCUCUUAAUUAGUACUUGUCCUUUUAUAUCCGUGUUCUUCGUUCUGAACUUAAGUGAUUUGCUUUUGUGGUGUUAUAUAUGAACGCUUAUAAUAUCAUGACAAUCAUGUUGAACUCGAUGAUUGGUUCUACUAGAAAUUCUAUUUAUAUAUAUAUAUAUAUAUAUGCAUAAUGUUUACAAUGUGUAGUAUCGUAAAAUACCAGCAAACGAAAAAGAAUUAAAAUGGAAACACAAAAUUAAAUGAAAAAGAAAUCAUAAAACUAAAAAACCCAAACCUUAUAGUACCGGUUGGUCUUACCAACCGGUACUAAAGGGCUCCAGGCCCCCGGAGCUGGCUUGUGCCACGUGGUUGCCCUUUAGCACCAGUUCGUGCUGAACCAGUACUAAAGGGGGGGGGCUUUAGUGACCACACUUUAGUGCCGGUUAUGGAACCGGCACUAAAGGGCCUUACGAACCGGUGCUAUUGCCCGGUUCUGCACUAGUGAUAUAUGGCUAGCACAAGCACGAGUAAAUGAGGGAUGAACAGAUCAUACCCUCCGGUGGCCAGGCCAACGCGGCGGCGGCGGCAACAGCCUCGGCUUUGUUCGUGGCCUUCUUCUUGGUGGCGGCAUCAUCGGACAUGGUGUUGAUGUAGGGGAAGUAGUGGAAGCAGAGGCGGACGGAGCUGGGGACAGAUCGGGAGCAGUUGCAUCGAGACGCUCCCCAAAAACCUUAUUGCCGAUCUCCCGGGCAGGAUCUCGAACGACAGGGUUCCGGAGGCACCUGCUCUCCCGACCAACCUUGCACACGGUCGUCGGGAUGGGGUCGCCGGAGACAACACAGAGCAGGGAACAGUAGAUGACGUCUAGGUUACGCGAGAGGGAGUGAGUUAACCGAGUUAGGUCACUCCAGUGGCCAGAGCCUUCUUAUAUAGUCCGUCGUGGGCUUGGGCGGAGGCCCACGACCGAGACGACACACUCCCGGGAAGGGAACUUCAUCUUCAACCCUUACACAAAUGAAUUCGUCCUGGUGUAUCUCGAUGAUAUCUUGGUGUUCUCCAAGAAUAAGAAGGACCAUGCCAAACAUUUGAGGUUGGUGCUCGACAAGCUCAGAGAGUAUCAAUUCUAUGCGAAGUUUUCCAGAUGUGAGUUUUGGCUUGAUGAAGUUCUUUAUCUUGGCCACAUCAUCUCCGCCAAGGGCAUUGCUGUUAAUCCGGAGAAGGUUUCUGCAAUUGUGAACUGGGAACCUCCUCAGAAUGUCAAGAAGCUCCGCAGUUUCCUUGGACUUGCAAGCUAUUGCCGAAGAUUCGUUGAGAAUUUCUCUAAGAUUGCAAAGCCUCUUUCCAACCUCCUCCAAAAGCAUGUCAAGUAUGUCUGGACUCUCAAAGAGAAGCUAGUCUCAGCUCCUGUCUUGCCUCCUCCUGAUGAAUCCAAGCCAUUCAAAGUUUUCUGUGAUGCCUCUUUGCAAGGUCUCGGUGCCGUGUUAAUGCAAGAGAAGAAAGUUGUGGCCUAUACCUCUCGUCAGUUGAAGCCCAACGAAAGGAACUACCCCACUCAUGAUCUUGAGUUGGCGGCAGUUGUCCAUGCAUUGAUGACAUGGAGACAUCUCUUGUUGGGAAGGCAAGUGGACAUUUUCACCGAUCACAAGAGCCUCAAAUAUAUCUUCACUCAACCCAACCUCAACCUCAGGCAAACUCGUUGGGUCAAAAUGAUUCAAGAGUACAAUCCGAGUAUUGAAUAUACUCCAUGCAAGGCUAAUGUGAUUGCAGAUGCUUUGAGCAGGAAGGCCUAUUGCAACAGCUUAAUUAUCAAGCCAUUCCAUCCUGAUCUUUGUGAAGCUUUCCGCAAACUCAACCUCCAAGUUGUUCCUCAAGGUUUUCUUGCCAACCUUCAAGUCGCUCCUACCUUGGAAGAUCAAAUCCGUGAGGCACAACUCCUUGAUGCCAUGGUGAAGAAGGUGAAACACGGUAUUGCCAAGGGCUUAUCCAAAUACAAGUGCUAUCGCAUUGAUGACAAGGACACCUUAUUCUUCGAGGAUCGGUUAGUGGUUCCUAAAGGUGAUCUAAGGAAGGUCAUAAUGAACAAAGCGCACAACUCUCUCCUUUCCAUCCGUCCAGGCAGCUCGAAGAUGUAUCACGACCUUAAGCAAUCAUUCUGGUGGACACGUAUGAAGCGAGAGAUUGCUCAAUUCAUGAAUGAAUAUGAUAUCUGCUGAAGGGUCAAAGCUGAACAUCAAUGACCGGCUGGUCUCCUCCAACCUCUUGCUAUUCUAGAAUGGAAGUUUGAUCACAUUGAGAUGGACUUUGUCACUGGAUUCCCUAAGUCCAAGCGUGGGAAUGAUGCCAUCUUCAUUGUCAUCGACAAGCUUACAAAAGCGGCUCAUUUCCUUCCAAUCAAAGAAUUUAUCACGGAAGCUAAGUUGGCAGAGCUCUACACCUCCAGAAUUGUCUCCUUGCACGGUAUUCCGCAAUUGAUCUCUUUAGACCGCGAAAGCAUUUUCACUUCUAAGUUCUGGGACUCCUUCCAGAAGGCCAUGGGCACCAACAUUCGCUUCAGCACGACUUUCCAUCCUCAAACAAGUGGCCAAGUCGAGCGAGUCAAUCAAAUCCUCGAAGACGUGCUCAGAGCUUGCGUAAUCUCUUUCGGUAUGAAGUGGGAAGAUUGUCUUCCAUAUGCCGAGUUCUCCUACAACAACAGCUUCCAAGCAAGUUUGGGCGAGGUGCUACCUCUUGAGCACUGCGUUGGAUUUCCCCGAAGAGGAGAGGAUGAUGCAGUAAAGUAGCGUAAGUAUUUUCCUCAGUUUUUGAGAACCAAGGUAUCAAUCCAGUAGGAGACCACACACAAGUCCCUUGUACCUACACAAAACGAUAGCUACUCGCAACCAACGCGAUUAGGGGUUGUCAAUCCCUUCACGGUCACUUACGAGGGUGAGAUCUGAUAGAGAUGAUAAAUGAUAUUUUUGGUAUUUUUGAUAGAUAGAUGCAAAGUGAAAAGAAAAAGGCAAAGUAAAAACAAAGCAAGUAAAUAAAGCGAUAGAGAUUGAUAUGAUGAGAUAGACCCGGGGGCCAUAGGUUUAACUAGUGGCUUCUCUCAAGAGCAUAAAUAUUCUACGGUGGGUGAAUAAAUUACUGUUGAGCAAUUGACAUAAUUGAGCAUAGUUAUGAACAUAUCUAGGCAAUGAUCAUGUAUAUAGGCAUCACGUCCAAGACAAGUAGAUCGAAACGAUUCUGCAUCUACUACUAUUCUCCACUCAUCGACCGCUAUCCAGUAUGCAUCUAGAGUAUUAAGUUAAAAACAGAGUAACGCCUUAAGCAAGAUGACAUGAUGUAGAGGGAUAAAUUCAUGCAAUAUGAUAAAAAAACCAUCUUGUUAUCCUCGAUGGCAACAAUACAAUACAUGCCUUGCAACCCUUUCUGUCACUGGGUAAGGACACCGCAAGAUCGAACCCAAAGCUAAGCACUUCUCCCAUUGCAAGAACUACCAAUCUAGUUGGCCAAACCAAACGGAUAAUUCGAAGAGACUUGCAAAGAUAACUCAAUCAUACAUAAAAGAAUUCAGGGAAGAUUCAAAUAUUUUCCAUAGAUAAUCUGGAUCAUAAACCCACAAUUCAUCGGUCUCAACAAACACACCGCAAAAAGAAGAUUACAUCGAAUAGUUCUCCACAAGAGAGGGGGAGAACAUUGUAUUGAGAUCCAAAAAGAGAGAAGAAGCCAUCUAGCUACUAGCUAUGGACCCAAAGGUUUGAAUUAAACUACUCACACUUCAUCGGAGGGGCUAUGGUGUUGAUGUAGAAGCCCUCCGUGGUAGAUGCCCCCUCCGGCGGAGCUCCGGAACAGGCUCCAAGAUGGGAUCUCAUGGAUACAGAAGGUUACGACGGUGGAAUUAGGUUUUUGGCUCCUCUUCUGAUCUGUCGGGGGUACGUAGGCAUAUAUAGGAGGAAGGAGUAUGUCGGUGGAGCAGCAGGGGGCCCACACACUACAAUAGGAACCCCCCUUCAGCAACGCAUUGAUGCGUUGUGCUAUGUCCAUAUAUGCGUUGCUAAGGUCUACACCAACGAAUUACUAUGCGUUGUCGUUGGUGGCGUUGCUAGGGUCUACAAAAACAUAUAUACAUACGUUGGUAAACAACAUAUAGAAGCAUUGUAAGGUAGCAACAGAAAGAGUUAAAGCUUAACAACAUUUCAUAUGCGUUGGUGGCUACCCUGGACAAUUAUAUAACAUAACAUUGCAAGGACUAGAGGCUUCGCUACAAAGCAUGAAUAUUGGAUGAUAUUUUACACAUUGCCAUCUAGAAAUAUUAGGUCAAUAUAGAGAGUAUAGGAGUCACAAUACAAUAAACAGGAAGGACUCGUAUUAAAUCAACUAUGUUGCAUUACAAAGAACACAAUUCAAAGAAUACAAGAUGUGAAACUAUCUAGUAGUCGCCAAAUUCUCGACCUUGCAAUCAACUAUAAUGUUCGAAACAUUGCCCUAGAAAUGACAUUCUCGGGAUCUAGUACUAGUAGUAGUCCCAUUCCCGUCCUUGAAAUCAGCAUUCGAGCCAUGCAUCAUUCAUUUAUCUUGGAAAUCUACAAAAAAAUGAGGUUAGUAGGGCAGCAAAAUGUAAAGGAGGAGCAACAUACAAAGGUUGAAGGUCAUGACAUUAGUAGCUUUGUACUGAAAGUAGAGUAAUAGCCUACAUCUCACAAACACUUUUGAUCCUUGUUUUCUUAUGAACAAAUCUACUAUAUGUCAACUGAAUUAACGUAAACCAUAAAGCAAGCAUACUAAUGUAGGAAAUUAGGUACUUCCUUUAAAUAAAUAUGUACUGACAUACAACACAUCCUCUGGUUUUAACGAAAGAUAUGUAGUUCUCCAGAAAAUACAAAUAGAUAAAGUUUCAACAAUUCAAAUAUACUUUAUGCAGAAAGAAAAUAAUUCACACUAGGCCAAACUUGGAUGUGCCUUAAUUAGGUACAGUGAUACAUGCUAACAAUUUAGACAUCUAUUUAUAUACUAGGAAAUUGUUUAGUACAAAAUUAAUAGAGGAAACUUUAGUACAAGAAGUCUAAAUCUUGACAAAAUGGGAUAUUAGCCUCUCCGAGCUACAGGACCCUUAGCAACUCCAUAUUCAAUUGUACACAUCAGUUUAGUAAAAUAUUUAGAUCAACAUAAAAUCUACAGGGAAUGCUAGAAGAUAUUAGACAUAGCGCGCGUGUACGAAGAAGUUAAUAUUUGAGAGCAAGAUGAGUACUUACACAAACUUCUCAGUAUCUUAGCUGCAGACAUCACAUGACUGUCUGACUUGGCAUCCAUCUUCUCUUUUCUAGAUUGGGCAAUCUCUCUGUAAUCUAUAAACCAAAAUAGGUUUGUGACAACAUCUUCAGUUUAUCAAAGAUGUUUUUCAUUCAAAAUAGGUUAAUAUGGUUUACUAUGCAAAGUAGGGUGUAUUACCUUGAGCAUAUGGAUGCUUAUCUGAACUCGUAACAUGAAAAAUUGGCCGAUGAAGAACAUGUGAGACAUAAAUAUUUAAUGAUCUUUGUGAAGAAUCAGAUGCUGAUUAAAGAAAGUUAGGAGCCAACACCAUGUAGAAUACUAAGAGUUCUAAUUGAGUAAUUGGAGCAAGGUGAAAUCGUACAGGGUUCUGAUUCAAGCACUGAAAUUCUUAUGGAAACAAGUCAAGAAACAACAAAACGUGUUACAGUCAUAGUAUAGCGUAGUUCCUACAUCCAGUAACUUCACCAUCUUAGAUCCUAGGGGAACACAGAACCUUACAACCAAAGAAGUCAGUACCAUAGUUUCCCCCCGCGGAGUUGGCACUGAUCGAGGGCAGCUCAAGUAGGCCGGCGUCUCCACAACAUGUGAGCACGAGGAGAAGUGCUACGACAUUGCUCGUCGUCGCUGGCUAAUUUUGUAGUGCUUGCCGGCACACCAUUCUGCAAUCAUCGCAAUGAAAAGGUCAAACCAAAACUUACACUGAACACAGCAGGCGGAUCAAUAAUUCAAGUUGACUUAGCGAUUAGUUAAUUAAGGGAGACAAUUUUUUGGUAACUCACAACCAUCCUACGGCCCUGCGUGGAUGACUGGAUGUUCAUCGCACAACAGAUCGAUCUACUACUACGAUGCGAAUGCAAUCCAACAAAUACACACAUGUUGUCUGAAGCAAGGCCGGUUUCAGAACCUGUAAAUGAAUUUAAAUUAAGGAUUAUGUACACAAUAAAGAGGAAUAUUAGGAAAUCGGUAAGGAUUCAGCCACCCACAUAGCAGCAACAACAGACUAUUGAGAUUAAAAAGAAGGACACAAGCAUUCUUCCAGAAUUACACAUAUGCACUCAACCAUACAUCCAAAUAGAUCAGCCAAAGUAUAAACAACUGGCUUGCAUUUACAGAAUUAGAUAGCACUGCACAUUGAAAGAUGUAAGCACGAAACAAAAAUACCUAAGAAUAGCACGAUGGGGCGGCUAACACUAGGUAGAAUAGAUCACAAUCGCGAUUUCCGUCAAAGGUCGACCAGCAGACGAUGGCCAUGUCACCACAAACAGAGGAGAGAAGUGGCUUACUGAACCAUCUAUGUCGAUGUCGGCGGGGUGAGGUAGCAGAGGCGGAUCAGCACCGUCGAGCCCGAGCUGCCAGCGGUGCAUAGGGAGACGCGAGGUAGAUGGCCUACCUGGGAGUCGCAUCGGCGGCCCAUGGCGGCUAGGGUUGCUACAGGGGCAUGUGCAGCGGCGCAGAGGAAGUCGCGGUUGCAGAGGAUCGGGGGAGAGGAUUGAGGGGCAGCCGGUCUGGUGAGCGACGUCCUGGAGAGCACCGGAGCUAGUACAAAUCGGCGGUGGCGGGCAGCAUCGCGUUCAUGGAGUUCAGGGGAGACAAUAAUCGAGGAGGAGGGGAGAUGGCGAAUAGGAAAAAUUGGGGGGAGAUGGGUACUGCCGUACGAGGAGGUUAGAUUUUUUUUCAUAGGAGAGGAGGUUAGCGCUUAGUAGGGGAGGGUGGGAUAAGUCGGGGAGGUGGGAGGUUAACAAACAACACAUAUUAUCGUUUCGUUGGUAGAUAUGUGUUGGUAUAGGUGGGUUCUUGUUGUAGUGCACGAGGUAGGGGGCGCGCCCAGGGGAGGCGCGCCCUCCACCCUCGUGACCGCCUCUUUUGUUCCUUGGAGCAGGGUCCAAGUCUCCUGGAUCACGUUCGGUGAGAAAAUCACGUUCCCGAAGGUUUCAUUCCGUUUGGACUCCGUUUGAUAUUUCAUUUCUUCAAAAUACUGAAAUAGGCAAAAAACAGCAAUUCUGGGCUGGGCCUCCGGUUAAUAGGUUAGUCCCAAAAAUAAUAUAAAAGUGGAAAAUAAAGCCCAAUAUAGUCCAAAACAGUAGAUAAAGUAGCAUGGAGCAAUAAAAAAUUAUAGAUACGUUGAAGACGUAUCACAAGGCCCCAUUUGAAAUUCUAUAUGGCAGAAAGUGUCGUACUCCUCUCAAUUGGUCCGAGACUGGUGAACGCCAACUUCUUGGCAACGACUGGAUCAUAGAAGCAGAAUAAAUCUGUAAAGUCAUCCGUGAAAAUCUCAAAGCCAAGCAAUCGCGCUAGAAGAGUUACUAUGACAGCAAGCACCGUGACUUGGCUUUCGAGAUCGGAGAUCAUGUCUACCUCCGCGUCUCUCCAAUGAAAGGCACUCGUCGCUUCAGUAUCAAAGGGAAGCUUGCCCCUAGAUGCAUGGGUCCUUUCAAGAUCAUUGACAAAAGAGGCGACCUCGCCUAUCAACUCGAGCUUCUGACCAACUUCGAAAAUGUGCACGAUGUGUUUCACAUGUCACAGCUUCGCAAGUGCUUCAAGACGCGUGAGCGCACUAUCAACUUCGAAUAGAUUGACCUCCAAGAAGAUAUGUCUUAUCUCGAGCAUCCCGUUGCUAUUCUCGAAGAAACCGAGCGCAAGACUCACAACAAGUCAAUCAAAUUUCUGAAAGUUAAGUGGUCGCACCAUUCCGACCGAGAAGCCACCUGGGAUAGGAUCACCUCCGUUCCAAAUAUCCGGAGUUCUUUCAGUCCAAGAUCUCGGGACGAGAUCCUCUUGUAGUGGUGGAGUGUUGUAACACCCCGGAUGUAACUUUCCAUAUUUGUAACUCCAACUCUUGCCAUUUCCGGCUAUGUGAUAUAUUAUUUUCUCCGUGGUUGGGUUUUUGUCUUUCGUUUUGCAUUUUGUUCAUGUCAUGCAUUUCAUCUCAUGUCAUCAUGUGCAUCUCAUUUGUAUUCGAGUUCGUCUCAUUCUUUAUUUAUAUUGGUGUUAAACCUACUGUAUUCCAAGUUCUCUAUGGUUCAUACCACUUAAUACUAGCCAUAGAUGCAUCAAAAUAAGCAAACAACACAUGAAAAGCAGAAUCUGUCAAAAAAAAAUAGUCUGUAGCAAUCUGUAACUAACGCAAACUUCUGGAACUCUAAAAAUCCUACCAAAUAGGAAGUCCUGGACAAUUCGUCUACUGAUCAGCGGGAAAAAGAAUCAACGCAAAAGCUCGUUUCUAUGAUUUAACAAAACUAAUUUUGUGCGCGCAAAGUUUCUGUUUUUCAGCAGAAUCAAAUUAACUAUCACCAUAGGUUAUCAUAUAGGUUCUACUUGGCACAAACACUAAUUCAAACAUAAAAACACAUCUAAACAGAAGGUAGAUGCAAAAUUUAUUACUAAACAGAAACAAAAACAAAAAACACAUAUAAAAUUGGGUUGCCUCCCAACUAGCGCUAUCGUUUAACGCCCCUAGCUAGGCAUAAAAGCGAAGAUAGAUCUAAGUAGUGCCAUUUUUGGCAUUCGAUUCAUAAGUAGCUCGCAUGAUAGAUUCAUAAGGUAAUUUAAUUUUUUUUUCUUGGAAAGUGCUUCAUGCCCUUCCUUAAUGGAAAUUGGAAUCUAAUAUUCCCUUCCUUCAUAUCAAUAAUCGCGCCAAUUGUUCUAAGGAAAGGUCUACCAAGUAUAAUAGGGCAAGAAAGAUUGCAACCAAUAUCAAGAACGAUAAAAUCUACCGGCACCAAAUUUCUAUUUGCAACAAUGAGAACAUCAUUGAUCCUUCCCAUUGGCUUUCUAAUGGUGGAAUCCGCAAGGUGCAAAUUUAAAGAGCAAUCAUCAAGAUAAUGGAAACCUAGAAUAUCACAUAAAGUUUUCGGAAUCGUGAAAACACUAGCACACAAAUCACACAAAGCAAAACACUCAUGGUCUUUAAUUUUAAUCUUUAUAGUAGGUUCCCACUCAUCACUAAGUUUUCUAGGUAUAGAAACUUCCAAAUUAAGUUUUUCAUCAUAAGAUUGCAUCAAUGCAUCAACGAUAUGUUUGGUAAAAGCUUUAUUUUGACUAUAAGCAUGAGGAGAAUUAACAACGGAUUGCAACAAGGAAAUACAACCUUCUAAAGAACAAUUAUCAUUAUCAAAUUCCUUGAAAUCCGAGAUAGUGGGUUCAAUGCUAUUUAAAGUCAUGACAUCUCCAAUCCCACUUUUACCAAAUUUAGCAUCAAGAUCUAAAAACUCCGAAUUAUUGGGAUGCCUUCUAACUAAAGUUGACUCAUCUCCGGUCCCUUAUUAAGAUUCAUAUUGCAAAACAAAGAUCUAAUAGGAGACACAUCAAUAAAUUUAAGAUCUUCAUCAUUAUUUUUACCUAAUUUUUCUGGUUUGGCAGCCAUCUUAUUGACUAAGGUAGCUUGCUUAUCAGAAAUUUGUGCGAUAGAAUUUUCAAGCCGGGUAAUCUGAGAGUUCAAACCAUAAAAUUCUUUAGACAUAUCAUCAAGCUCCUUGUUCAUAAACCCCCAAAAACCUUUUCAUUCUUUAAGCUCUUUUCUGAAGAAAUUAUUGUGCUCAAAUUGUAAAGUCAUAAAACUUCUAAUGUUCAAUUCAAUCUCUUCCAUCCUUCUAAGAAGGAGGUCGGUGUUCUUAGGCAAAGCCAUAAGGGAAAACAAGCACACAAAAAGACAAGCGGGAAAGACAGGGCGAAUAAAACGGCAAGGGUGAAGUGAGGGAGAGGAAAACAAGAGGCAAAUGGCAAAUAAUGUAAAUGCGAGGGAGAUGAGUUUGUGAUGGGUACUUGGUAUGUCUUGACUUGAGCGAAGACCUCCCCGGCAACGGCGCCAGAAAUCCUUCUUGCUACGUCUUGAGCUUACGUUGGUUUUCCUUGAAGAGGAAAGGGUGAUGCGGCAAUAGUAGCGUAAGUAUUUCCCUCAGUUUUUGAGAACCAAGGUAUCAAUCUAGUAGGAGGCCCCUCAAAAGUUCCACGCACCUACACAAACAAACAAAGAACUCGCAACCAACGCAAUAAAGGGGUUGUCAAUCCCUUCACGGCCACUUGUGAAAGUGAGAUCUGAUAGAGAUAGUAUGAUAAGAUAAAUAUAUUUUUGGUAUUUUAUGAUAUAGAUUGGAAAAGUAAAGAUGCAAAUAAAAGUAGAUUGAAAACUUAUAUGAUAAAAGAUAGACCCGGGGGCCAUAGGUUUCACUAGUGGCUUAUCUCAAGAUAGCAUAAGUAUUACGGUGGGUGAACAAAUUGCUGUCAAGCAAUUGAUAAAAAAGCGAAUAAUUAUGAGAUUAUCUAGGCAUGAUCAUGUAUAUAGGCAUCAUGUCCGUGACAAGUAGACUGACUCCUGCCUGCAUCUACUACUAUUACUCCACACAUCGACCGCUAUCCAGCAUGCAUCUAGAGUAUUAAGUUCAUAAGAACAGAGUAACACAUUAAGAAAGAUGACAUGAUGUAGAGGGAUAAACUCAUGCAAUAUGAUAUAAACCCCAUCUUUUUAUCCUCGAUGGCAACAAUACAAUACGUGCCUUGCUGCCCGUGCUGUCACUGGGAAAGGACACCGCAAGAUUGAACCCAAAGCUAAGCACUUCUCCCAUUGCAAGAAAGAUCAAUCUAGUAGGCCAAACCAAACUGAUAAUUCGAAGAGACUUGCAAAGAUAACUCAAUCAUACAUAAAAGAAUUCAGAAGAGAUUCAAAUAUUUCUCAUAGAUAAACUUGAUCAUAAACCCACAAUUCAUCGGAUCUCGACAAACACACCGCAAAAAGAGUCACAUCGAAUAGAUCUCCACAAGGGAGGGGGAGAACAUGGUAUUGAGAUCCAAAAAGAGAGAAAAAGCCAUCUAGCUAAUAACUAUGGACCCGAAGGUCUGUGGUAAACUACUCACAACUCAUCAGAGGGGCUAUGGUGUUGAUGUAGAAGCCCUCCAUGGUCGAUCCCCCCUCCGGCGGAGCGCCGGCGAAGGCUCCAAGAUGGGAUCUCGCGGAUACAGAAGGUUACGACGGUGGAAAUUGUUUUUUGUUGGCUCCCUGGAUGUUUUCAGGGUACAUGGGUAUAUAUAGGAGGAAGAAGUAUGUUAGUGGCCGCCCGAGGGGCCCACGAGACAGGGGGCGCGCCCUGUAGGGGUGGGCGCGCCCUCCACCCUCGUGGCCGCCUCGAUCGCCUCUUGACUUGCACUCCAAGUCCUCUGGAUCACGUUCGUUCCAAAAAUCACGCUCCCGAAGGUUUCAUUCCGUUUGGACUCUGUUUGAUAUUCCUUUUCUUCGAAAUACUGAAAUAGGCAAAAAAAUACGGGCUGGGCCUCCGGUUAGUAGGUUAGUCCCAAAAAUGAUAUAAAUGUGUAAAAUAAAGCCCAUAAACAUCCAAAAGGGGUAAUAUAAUAGCAUGGAACAAUCAAAAAUUAUAGAUACAUUGGAGACGUAUCAAGCAUCCCCAAGCUUAAUUCCUGCUCGUCCUCGAGUAGGUAAAUGAUAAAAACAGAAUUUUUGAUGUGGAAUGCUACCUAGCAUAAUUCUCAAUGUAAUUUCCUUUAUUGUGGCAUGAAUGUUCAGAUCCAAAUGAUUCAAAAUAAAAGUUCAUAUUGACAUAAGAAAUAGUAAUACUUCAAGCAUAUUAAUAAAAGCAAUCAUGUCUUCUCAAAAUAACAUGGCUAAAGAAAGUUCAUCCCUACAAAAUCAUAUAGUUAGGCUAUGCUUUAUUUUCGUCACACAAAAAUGUUCCCAAAUUCUACACCCCUGAUGACAAGCCAAGCAAUUGUUUCGUACUUAAAUAAUCUCAAACUUUUUCAACUUUCACGCAAUACAUGAGCGUGAGCCAUGGAUAUAGCACUAUGGGUGGAAUAGAAUAUGAUGAUGGGGAUUGUGUGGAGAAGACAAAAAAGGACAAAAGUCUCAAAUUGACGAGGAUAAUCAAUGGGCUAUGGAGAUGCCCCUCAAUUGAUGUCAACAUGAGGAGUAGGGAUUGCCAUGCAACGGAUGCACUAGAGCUAUAAAUGAAUGAAAGCUCAACAAAAGAAAACUAGUGGGUGUGCAUCCAACUUGCUUGCUCACGAACAUCUAGGGAAUUUGAGGAAGCCCAACGUAGGAAUAUACAAGCCAAGUUCUAUAAUGAAAAAUUCCCACUAGUAUAUGAAAGUGACAACAUAUGAGACUCUCUAUAUGAAGAACAUGGUGCUACUUUGAAGCACAAAAUAUGAGACUCGCUAUAUGAAGAACAUGGUGCUACUUUGAAGCACAAGUGUGGAAAAAGAGAUAGUAACAUUGCCCCUUUUUAUUUAUUUUCUUUUUUUAUUUUUCUUUAUUUCUUUCUCUUUUUUUGGGCCUUUCUUUUUUUCCUUUUGGCCUUUCUUUUUUUUUCUUUUUUUCUUUUUGGGGACAAUGCUCUAAUAAUGAUGAUCAUCACACUUUUUUAUUGGUUACAACACAUGAAUUACAACUCGAAACUAGAACAAGAUAUGACUCUAUAUGAAUGCCUCCGGCGGUGUACCGGGAUGGUGCAAUGAAUCAAGAGUGACAUGUAUGAAAAAUUAUGCAUGGUGGCUUUGCCACAAAUACGAUGUCAACUAGAUGAUCAUGCAAUGGCAAUAUGACAAACGUAAUGCGUGUCAUGAUGAUAAACGGAACGGUGGAAAGUUGCAUGGCAAUAUAUCUCGGAAUGGCUAUGGAAAUGCCAUAAUAGGUAGGUAUGGUGGCUGUUUUGAGGAAGGUAUAUGGUGGGUGUAUGGUACCGGCGAAAGUUGCGCGGCACAAGAGAAGCUAGCAAUAAUGGAUGGGUGAGGUGCGUAUAAUCCAUGGACUCAACAUUAGUCAAAAGAACUCAUGUACUUGUUGCAAAAAUUUAGAAGUCAUCAAAAACCAAAGCACUACGCGCAUGCUCCUAGGGGGAUAGAUUGGUAGGAAAAGACCAUCGCUCGUCCCCGACCGCCACUCAUAAGGAAGACAAUCAAUAAAUAAAAUUGUGCUCCAACUUCAUCACAUAGCAGUUCACCAUACGUGCAUGCUACGGGAAUCACAAACUUCAACACAAGCAUUCUUUAAAUUCAUAAUCACCCAACUAGCAUGACUUUAAUAUCACUACCUCCAUAUCUCAAAACAAUUAUCAAGCAUCAUAUUGAUCAUAGCAUCCAAUUCUUUUUCUAUGAUAGUUUUUAUUAUACCCAACUUGGAUGUUCAUCAUUCUAAGACCAACUUUGUAACCAUAGCAAAUACCAUGCUGUUCUAAAAGACUAUCAAAACAAUAUAAGUGAAGCAUGAGAGACUAGAAAUUUCUUCAAAAUUAAGACACCAUCGUGCUCUAAAAGAUAUAAGUGAAGCACUAGAGCAAAAACUAUCAAGCUCAAAAGAUAUAAGUGAAGCACAUAGAGUAUUCUAGCAAAUUCUAAUCAAAUAGGCUUCUCCCAAAAGGUGUGUACAGCAAGGAUGAUUGUGGUAAACUAAAAAGCAAAAACUAAUAUAAUACACUAGGCUCCAAGCAAAACACGUAUCAUGUGGCGAAUAAAAAUAUAGCUCCAAGUAAAGUUACCAAUGAACGAAGAUGAAAGAGGGGAUGCCUUCCCGGGGCAUCCCCAAGCUUAGGCUUUUGGCUAUACUUGGAUAUCUUGGGGUGCCUUGGGCAUCCCCAAGAUUAGGCUCUUGCCACUCCUUAUUCUAUAGUCCAUAAAAGCUUUACCCAAAACUUGAAAACUUCACAACACAAAACUCAACAGGAAAUCUUAUAAGCUCCGUUAGUGAAAGAAAACAAAACCACCACAUAAGGUACCGCAAUGAACUCAUUAUUUAUUUAUUUUGGUGUUAAACCUACUGUAUUCCAACUUCUCUAUGGUUUAUAAACUAUUUUACUAGCCAUAGAUGCAUCAAAAUAAGCAAACAACACACGAAAAGCAGAAUCUGUCAAAAAUAGAACAGUAUGUAGUAAUCUGUAACUAACGCAAACUUCUGGAACUCUAAAACUCCUACCAAAAUAGGAAGUCCUGGAAACUUUGUUUAUUGAUCAGCGGAAAAAAGAAUCAACGCAAAAGCACGUUCCUGUGAUUUAACAAAAUUAUAUUGGUGCGCGCAAAGUUUCUGUUUUUCAGCAGAAUCAAAUCAACUAUCAUCAUAGGUUAUCCUAUAGGUUCUACUUGGCACAAACACUAAUUAAAAGAUAAAAACACAUCUAAACAGAGAGUAGAUGCAAGAUUUAUUACUAAACAGGAGCAAAAACAAAAAACAUAAAGAAAAAUUGGGUUGCCUCCCAACUAGCGCUAUCGCUUAACGCCCCUAGCUAGGCAUAAAAGGGAAGAUAGAUCUAACGAGUGCCUUCUUUGGCACUCAAUUCUUCAAUAGAGCACGUAUAAUCUUAAGGGGUUUCUCCCUUUUUAGCAAUGAUUAAACCUUUGGGAAAAAAUUCAAGAAAUUCGUUUGUAGCGAAAGGUUCCUUAACGAUCGAAAGACAAUUGGGAUGAACACUUAUGGAUUUGAGAUCCGCGUCUCCCUUACUAGAAGUUUCACCCUUAUUUUUAGGAACAUAAAUGAACUUGGCGGUUUUUGUAGGGGGUUUUGGAGUGUUUUUUAUGAGAUAAAACGCCGAACCUAAGUUGGUAAUUAUAUCCUCAAGUUUACCAAUUCUAGCAGAAUCAAGAUCUAUUUUUUCAUUAACUAUAGGUUCUUUCUCUUUAAGAUUUUUCAAAGUAACUCCAACCCUAGAUUCAUAUUGGGUGAUAAGAUUAUGAAUCUUUUAUCCAAAUUUUCAAUCAACUCAACAGUGACAAUUUUAUUUUCAAUAAUAUCAAGCCGUUGCAUAACAUGUUCUAAGGUUAAAACAGUUCCAUUAACCAAAAGAGGUGGUGGGCCAAACAAAUCUAACAUAGCAUUAUAAGCAUCAAACGUAUGGCUACUCAAGAAAUCACCUCCGGCGACAGUAUCAAGAACACAUCUAUUCCAAGGAGUGGUGCCUACAUAAAAAUUGCGGAGAAGAACGGAAGUAGAAAGCUUCCUAGUAGAUCUAUUUUGAGCAUUGCAAAUUCUAUGCCAAGCAUCUUUUAAAUUUUCUCCCUCCCUUUGUUUAAAAUUGAGGAUUUCAUGUUCGGGAGUAAUAAUGAGGAUAGGAAGACUAGCCAUAAUGAUGAGGUAACGAACCGACAACGAGCAAACAGAAAAGGCAAGCGAAAGAGAAGAGGAGAUUGGUAAAGAGAGGGCGAAUAAAACGGCAAGGGUGAAGUGGGGGAGAGGAAAACGAGAGGCAAAUGGCAAAUAAUAUAAAUGCGAGGGAUAUGGGUUUGUGAUGGGUACUUGGUAUGUCUUGACUUGAGCGAAGACCUCCCCGGCAACGGCGCCAGAAACCCUUUUUGAUACGUCUUGAGCUUGCGUUGGUUUUCCUCGAAGAGGAGAGGGUGAUGCAGCAAGUGUAGCGUAAAUAUUUCCCUCGGUUUUUGAGAACUAAUGUAUCAAUCCAGUAGGAGGCUCCUCAAAAGUCCCACGCACCUACACAAACAAACUGAGAACUCGCAACCAACGCAAUAAAGGGGUUGUCAAUCCCUUCACGGCCACUUGUGAAAGUGAGAUCUGAUAGAGAUAGUAUGAUAAGAUAAAUAUAUUUUUGGUAUUUUAUAACAUAGAUGAAAAAAGUAAAGAUGCAAAUAAAGGUAGAUUGGAAGCAAAUAUGAUAAGAGAUAGACCCGGGGGCCAUAGGUUUCACUAGAGGCUUCUCUCGAGAUAGCAUAAGUAUUACGAUGGGUGAACAAAUUACUGUCGAGCAAUUGAUAGAAAAGCAAAUAAUUAUGAGAUUAUCUAGGCAUGAUCAUGUAUAUAGGCAUCAUGUCCGUGACAAGUAAACGGACUCCUGCCUGCAUCUACUACUAUUACUCCACACAUCGACCGCUAUCCAGCAUGCAUCUAGAGUAUUAAGUUCAUAAGAACAGAGUAACACAUUAAGAAAGAUGACAUGAUGUAGAGGGAUAAACUCAUGCAAUAUGAUAUAAACCCCAUCUUUUUAUCCUCGAUGGCAACAAUACAAUACGUGCCUUGCUGCCCGUGCUGUCACUGGGAAAGGACACCGCAAGAUUGAACCCAAAGCUAAACACUUCUCCCAUGGCAAGAAAGAUCAAUCUAGUAGGCCAAACCAAACUGAUAAUUCGAAGAGACUUGUAAAGAUAACUCAAUCAUACAUAAAAGAAUUCAGAGAAGAUUCAAAUAUUAUUCAUAGAUAAACUUGAUCAUAAACCCACAAUUCAUCGGAUCUUGAUGAACACACCGGAAAAGAUAUUACAUCGAAUAGAUCUCCACAAGAGAGGGGAAUAACAUUGUAUUGAGAUCCAAAAAGAGAGAAGAAGCCAUCUAACUAAUAAGUGUGGACCCGUAGGUAUGUGGUAAACUACUCACAACUCAUCGGAGGGGCAAGGAUGUUGAUGUAGAGGCCCUCCGUGGUCGAUUCCCCCUCCGACAGAACGCCGGCGAAGGCUUCAAGAUGGGAUCUAGCGGAUACAGAAGGUUACGGUGGUGUAAAUUGUGUUUCGUCUGCUCCUUGGAUGUUUUCGGGAUACGUAGGUAUAUAUAGGAGGAAGGAGUAUGUCGGUGGACGCCAGAGGGGCCCACGAGACAGGGGGCGCACCCUAUAGGGGGGGCCUCCUAUCUCGUGGGAGCCUCGGCCGCUUCUUGACUUGCACUCCAAGUCCUCCGGAUCAUGUUCGUUCCAAAAAUCACGCUCCCGAAGGUUUCAUUCCUUUUGGACUCCGUUUGAUAUUCCUUUUCUUCGAAAUACUGAAAUAGGCAAAAAAACAGCAAUAUGGGUUGGGCCUCCGGUUAGUAGGUUAGUCCCAAAAAUGAUAUAAAUGUGUAAAAUAAAGCCCAUAAACAUCCAAAAGAGGUAAUAUAAUAGCAUGGAACAAUCAAAAAUUAUAGAUAUGUUGGAGAUGUAUCAGAAAGGACACUGCAAGAUUGAACCCAAAGCUAAGCACUUCUCCCAUUGCAAGAAAGAUCAAUCUAGUAGACCAAACCAAACUGAUAAUUCAAAUAGACUUGCAAAGAUAACUCAAUCAUACAUAAAAGGAUUCAGAAGAGAUUCAAAUAUUUCUCAUAGAUAAACUUGAUCAUAAACCCACAAUUCAUCGGAUCUCGACAAACACACCGCAAAAAGAGUUACAUCGAAUAGAUCUCCACAAGAGAGGGGGAGAACAUGGUAUUGAGAUCCAAAAAGAGAGAAGAAGUCAUCUAGCUAAUAACUAUGGACUUGAAGGUCUAUGGUAAACUACUCACAACUCAUCGGAGGGGCUAUGGUGUUGAUGUAGAAGCCCUCCAUGGUCGAUUCCCCCUCCGGCAAAGCGCCGGCGAAGGCUCCAAGAUGGGAUCUCGCGGAUACAGAAGGUUACGGCGGUGGAAAUUGUUUUUCGUUGGCUCCCUGGAUGUUUUCGGGGUACGUGGGUAUAUAUAGGAGGAAGAAGUACGUCGGUGGCCGCCCGAGGGGCCCACGAGACAAGGGGCACGCCCUAUAGGGGUGGGCGCGCCCUCCACCCUCGUGGCCGCCUCGAUCGCUUCUUGACUUGCACUCCAAGUCCUCUGGAUCACGUUCGUUCCAAAAAUCACGCUCCCGGAGGUUUCAUUCUGUUUGGACUCCGUUUGAUAUUCCUUUUCUUCGAAAUACUAAAAUAGGCAAGAAAAACAGCAAUACGGGCUGGGCCUCCGGUUAGUAGGUUAGUCCCAAAAAUGAUAUAAAUGUGUAAAAUAAAGCCCAUAAACAUCCAAAAGGGGUAAUAUAAUAACAUGGAACAAUCAAAAAUUAUAGAUACGUUGGAGACGUAUCACCCUUCUCCUCCACUUCCUCCUGAAGUUGCUCAACUACUGACUGGAUCUCAGUUACCUUGACAUCAAGAUCAUAGAAUUUCUGCUCAAUGGUCCUCUCCAAGCUCUCCUGGUUUUGAGUCAGGGUGGCCAAGCCCUUCUCAAUCCUCAAGGUGGAGGCAAUCAGAUAUCCAAGCUGAUCUUGCUUGCUUUUCAAGAAUACUUGAGAUGCCUCUUCAGCUGUUGGCAUCUUUGUAGCUUUCUCUGCCCUUGCCUUCUCUCUCUUCUCAUGUGCUUGCACUGAUGAUGGAUCUUCAUCAUUCAUGACAACAAUGUUGUCCUCAAAGUCUGGCUUGAGGGGUAAGUCCUCCUUGUUCAACAAAUAUGUGCAUGUGCCCAUCUUGGAGUUGAUGAGCACCUAAAUUUGUGGAGCAUACCCACAAGAUCUCUUCUGAUCUGCAGCUGUCCUCUUGAUUGUUUCCACAAUCAGACUCAUCACUUUGAACUUUUGAGGGACAUCAAAUAUAUGCAGCAAGUUGAUGGAGUGUCCUCUGAUCAUUCUGUGAUCUCCUGAUUUUGGCAACAGAGUGUGCCUCGGAAUGGUAUUGAUUGUAGGCAGUCCUGACAGCAAGUGCUUUACUGAGCCAAACUUGUGAGUCUCCAGGUCUGCAUCAGGUAUCUCUUUGUACAUGCUGGCCAUUGAGUUGUGAUCCUUCUUCUUCUUGGCAUAGACAUCCAAGUCAUCUUCAUGAGCUUCUGCAGCAUUGAUCAAUCUAGCUCACUCAUCAACUGUAGAUUGGUACCUUGUACCCUCUAACAUCCACACAAUUUUGCCUUCUGGAUAGAAAUGAGCAGUUGAAUAGAAUUGCAUAAUCAGCUCAUCAUUCCACUUAGUGAGCUUUUGGCCAACAAACUUGUCAAUCUCACAUGCCUUGAAGCUGUCAUAGACACCCGGGAAGUGCUCUUCAUUCUCUCUUAUGUAGGUCCAGUCCACGCAUCUCAUGUCACACACUAUGGGCUUCUUUUCAAGCAGGAUUGUCUCAUAGAAAUCUUGUUGUUCCUUUGUGUGGAAUCUGUAAUCCACAGCAGUUCUCCUCCUGACAGCAUAUGGGUCAUUCUUUCUCCACUGUCUCAGAUCUGCAUCCUUCCUGAUCCUCAUAUCCUCUGCAACAGGAUGUGCAUCAUUAUGAUGUGGGAUCUUGGGCUUUAGCUUUCAUAGCACUUGAGCUUCAGCUUCCUCUUCUUCAGCUUCAGGCACUGGGGCCUUGUUCUUUUCCUCAGCAGGUAUGUUCCUGGUACUCCUCUUGGGUGUAGUCUUGGGAACUGUAGCAGCAGCUUUGGGAGCAGAUUUGGGCUUAGGAGCAGCCCCUGACCUAAUAGCAUCUCCCAUGAGCUUCUGUGCCUUAGGUGCUGGAGCGGCAUCCUCUUCCUCUUCAUUUUUAGAUUCUCUCAUCAUGGAGGGUUUUCCAAUAAUCCUAGCAAUGGUCUUCUUGACCCUCUCUUUCCUCUUCUUCUCAUCCACAACUGGUUCUUUGGGUUCAGAUCCCAAAGUUUCUUAAGUGGAUGCUCUGGCCUUAGACAUAGGAACUCUUCUUGCUGGUGCCUUCUUGUUCAUGCCUGGCUUAGUUGAUGCAACUGUGCCAAAUUCUUUCUUCACUACCUUCUUCUUGGAAGUGACCUCAUCCUCAGCUGCAAUAUAGUCCUCAUCCUCUGAAUCAGAAUUUCUCUUCUUCCUUGUUCUAGUAGCUGCCUUGGGCAAGUUACUAGGUGUGCUCCUACUGACCUCAUCAUAGCUGCUGGAGGGACUAGUGCCCUCACUCAAUUUUCCUUGCUGUUCAGACCUGUUCUGGCUGUCACUCUAGUCAGACAUCUUUCAGGCAAACUGUCAGCAGACCCUGUGAAUAUGUUGUAGAUGAGGUAGAGUAGAUGAGCAUCACGAAGUACAGAGGUUUUGCAAAACAAAUUGAGUCAAAAAGAUUAGUUUUAGUUCUCUACAGAAGUGAUCUCAGAGCUACCGAAUUGACAAACUCGGUGAUACUGAAGCAACACUUGGAACCUAAACUAGUGAACUCGGUUGGGCCGAGUCACAGUUCGGUGGCACCGAGAUUGCUAGGGUUUCAUAGAAUUCUGAACUGGUCACACCGAUGUGCACGUCUCGGUCAGACCGAAAAGCGCAAGUGCAAUGGCCGAAGUCGAAUCGGUGAGACCGAUUUCUACAUUUCGGUCGGUUCGAGAUGAGUUCUGUGGAGGGCUAACCCUAAAACUUUCGAAUCAAUCUAGACCUAAGGAAGAUCUGGCUGGAUAGAUUAAUCUCAUCUGUGGCAAGAAGUACGACAUUGUCCUUGUGCUAGGAAUCAGAGUGAUAAAGAUAGCACAGGGGUUCGAACACAUACCCUACAGCGGCGAGUGUUCGCUAUGGAGGCGACGACGGAGCAUAAUCCAUCGACGGCGGCAGAGUCCAACGGUGGCAGGUCGUUGGCGGCGAAGAGAUGAUCCAGAGACCCGAGGGGGCAGGGCAGGACACGCGCGGGCUGAGAAGUUUUUGAAGUAAUUUCCAAAAUCUCACCCGUGGGUAUAUAUAUCCCGACCCUGUCGGUGUGACCAAGUGGAAAUGGUGUGACCAAGUGGAACAACUGGGUCGCACCAAGAUUGCAGAACUGCAAGCAGUUGCUGCAACUCGGUGUGACCGAAGUGUUCAAAUCGGUUGCACCGAGAUGAAAACCUAGAUCAACUUAGUGAACUCGGUUUGACCGAAAUGGAUUUCUCGGUCAGACCAAAAUGCAGAAAGAGGUUUUGGAAGUUUAAGUCUAUGACGAAUUGGGGACUCCGAGUGCUCCUCACACAGAGUGGUUCAAAUCUUACUUGAUCAAACUUUGUGAUGUAGCAUGAAUAGAGUUUGAGACGAGAAAAGCAUAGAUAGCUAGAGAAGGUUCUUAGGCAUUCUUGUCCAUCCACUUGGCAAAAGAAAAAGAAACCAAACAAUCAAAACUACAAGUGGAUGUCCUUGAAUGAGAGAAAUAUGCAAACGACGUGCUCACACAAUAAAAUGGCAAAUGAAAUAUGUGACAAAGCAUGCACAACCAAUUCUAGCAUCUAUCAAACAAUUGGCGAUGACUAGGUUAUCUAUAUAUGAGUAUAUUGACUUAGGAGUCAAAUGAGAACAUUUGAUCAUAGGUCAUACUCAUCGUUUAAGCACAAGUGGGGUUACCACUUUUACAUAAGCAUUGUUGUGUUCACACCAUUAGAGUUGCUUUAGCUCAAUUCUUUAGAGUAAAGCUCCCCCUAGAUGUGAGAUUCCCCCUAAGAGGGAUGAACUAACCUUGGGUUUUGUCGAUGAUGACUUCAUGUAGGUGUUAAAGAUGUGGAUUCUCACCGUUGUUGAUCGUUUGGAGCAAUCCAUUGGAGUGGUUUGCACUUUCAAUACCUACACGGGUUAGUCCCACAAGGAACAAGCAAGAAUAUCCAUAGACAUAGAGUGAUGCACACACAAGAUGAUGUCCAUGAAAGCAUCUGGUUACCUUGUCCCUUGUCUUACCAACAAGAGGGUUUGUGACUCCUUGAACUAGUGCAAGAUGUGGAAGUUGAUUGCACUUGUCCUUGCCAAAAUGAUAUGAGUGAAGAUAUAUUGGCAGAAUCACCCUCAAGAACUCUCUAGUUUUUCUUCUUUGGGAUCCACAUCAUCUUGAUGGGAAUCCUUGGGGUGGUAGUGGAACUUGAUGAAGUAGAGCUUGAUGUAGUCUUCGGAACCCACCUGACCAAGUCCUUGUGAGCUUCUUCAAAUGCAUCAAUCUCCUCUUGAAGCUUGUCCUUGCCUUUUUGCUUGCGGUCUUGUGGUGGAAGAUCAUCUUGAGCUUGUGUCCCUUGGAAAGAAGUAGGAUCAUACUUCUCUUGUUGGGGAACAAACUUUGUCUUGGGGUAUUGAUCUUCUUCCCACUCAACUCCAUUGGCAUUAAACUUUCAUUCAAAACCAACACCUUGAUUCUUCCGGUGCCUUCCUUGCUUGCGUACAAUUUCUCCAAAUUGCUUACUCCCGGCAAGGCUCUUGUAGACACCCUUCUCUAUAAUUCCCUUCAAUAAGCUAUUUUCUUGCUCAAGUGUAACUUGGCUAAGAGAAUCAUUAGUGGAAUCAAGAGAACUACUAGAAGCAACAACAUUUGAUUUAGCAUGAUUAUUGUUACUACUAGAAGAAUCUUUCUUGCUCUUGUUACUAGACUUGACUUGUGGCAUGUAAGUAGUUAAGAGUAAAUGCUUGGCAAUGUAAGAAGAAGUUUUCUUGCAAAGAUUAUCAUUAAUUGCCUUUAAAAACUCAUGCUCUUGCUCAUAGUUGAGCUUUUCAAAGCGUAACUUCUCAUGAGUCUUUAAAAGUUCUCGAUGAUCUUCCAAGAUAGUUUCAUGAGCUAACUUAAGAGUGUUUAGUUCUUUAGUUAGGCUCUCAAUCUUCUCCUUAUCAUUGUCAUUCGUUUUACCUUGAUUAGCAUGAUUAAUUGACGUUUCAUCAUAGUAUUCAUCACUAGAGUUGUCAACAAGUAAAUCAUCAUCACCUAACAAGUUAUCUUCAUCACUAUUGAAAUCAACAUACUCGGGGUGUGAUACCUUUGGGCCUUUAGCCAUGAAGCAUCUUCCAAUUCCUUUAUUUGGUGAGUCAAAUAUGGCGUCGGAGUUGGUUGACACAAGUGCUAGACCGGCAACACCUUCAUCUUGAGUAUGUUCGGAGUCGGAGUGAUAGCUUCUCUCGGAGUGAUUGUCGGAGUUGGAGCCAGAUACCCAUUCAGCAACAUGAGCUUGAUGUCUUUGUUUUGUGUAGCUCUUUGAUGAUUUGUCCCUCCUUUCCGAAUCCCUGCUUCUUCGGGAUGUUCUUCGUUCAUAGUGAUCAUCUCUACUCCUCCUCUCUCUUGGUGGUGAUUCAUCUCUUCUACUUCUCCUGUUGGGUGAAUCUUCUCUCCUUUUGUAAGGAGCCGUACACUCAUUGGAAUAGCGUCCGAGUCUUCCACAAUGGUAACAAUUACGUUCACGACUCGAAGAUCUGUUGUCAUUGUAGGACCUUGACUUGAAGCUUCUUUCCUUGCUUCUACUCUUGUAGAACUUGUUGAAGUUUUUCACCAUUAGGCUCAAUUCCUCAUUGAAGGUUUGUUUCUCACGUGAUGAUGUAGGAGCAUCACAUGAGGCUUUAUAAGCACCACUUGACUUGUUGUGUAGCUCUUCCUUAUCCUUGAGUGACGUCUCAUGAGCAACAAUUCUUCCAAUGACUUUCGUUGGCUUGAGAUCUUUAUAGUUGGGCAUCAUUUGGAUCAACGUGCACACGGUAUCAUAUUUUCCAUCCAAGGCUCUUAGGAUCUUCUUGAUGAUGAAUUUGUCGGUCAUCUCUUCACUUCCUAAGCCGGCAAUCUCAUUUGUGAUGAGAGCAAGCCUAGAGUACAUUUCAGCAACACCUUCACCAUCCUUCAUUUUGAACUUGUCAAGUUGACUUUGAAGCACAUCCAAUUUGGAUUCCUUGACGGAGUCGUCACCUUCGUGCAUGUCAAUCAAAGUAUCCCAAAUUUCCUUUGCAUUCUCAAGGCGGCUGAUUUUGUUGAAUUCUUUGGGGCACAAUCCGUUGAAGAGAAUAUCACAAGCUUGUGCGUUGUAUUGCAGCAUCUUCAACUCUUCCGCGGUAGCUUCACGGCUCGGUUCUUUCCCAUCGAAGAAUUCACCUUGCAAGCCAAUACAAACAAUAGCCCAAACGGCGGGGUUAUGUCCAAGAAUAUGCAUUUUCCUCUUAUGCUUCCAACUAGCAAAAUUUGUACCAUCAAAGUAAGGACCUCUAUGGUGGUAAUUUCCCUCGCUAGACACCAUACUAUCCUAGGUUGUGAAACCAAGGCUAUGAUCACCAAAAGCUAUGGAAAUCAAGGCAAAUGGAGACCAAAGCACUGAUACCAAUUGUAGGAUCGAAAGUAUGUCUAAAGGGGGGGUGAUUAGACUACUUGAUCAAAUAAAAACUUAACCUUUUCCCAAUUUUAGUUCUUGGCAGAUUUUAACAACUUAGCACAAGUCAAGCAAUCUUAACACAAUUCAAGCAAUCAUGCAAUGAGUAUAUAAGCAGCGGAAAGUAAAGCAUGCAACUUGCAAGAAUGUAAAGGGAAGGGUUUGGAGAGAGCAAACGCAAAUUGGAGACACAUAUGUUUUUGGCGUGGUUCUAAUAACCCGCAUGUAUAAAAGAUCAAUGUAGCCUAUUUCGAUAAGUAAGAGUGUCGAACCCAACGAGGAGCUAAAGGUAGAACAAAUAUUCUCUCAAGUCCUAUCUGCCACUGAUACGACUCUACGCAUGCUUAGUGUUCGCUUUACCUAGAACAAGUAUGAAACUAGAAGUACUUUGUAUGUGUUGUUGGAUAGGUUUGAAAGAUAAUAAAGAGCACGUAAAUAUAAACUAGGGGCUGUUUAGAUAAAGAUGCAAAUAAAGUAAAUAUAGCGAGUGUGGAAAAGUCAUGGUAGGAGUUGUGAAAUUGUCCCUAAGCAAUUGACUACUUUACUAGACCGAUAGCAAGUUUUAUGUGGGAGAGGCAUAAGCUAACAUACUUUCUCUUCUUGGGUCAUAUGCACUUAUGAUUGGAACUCUAGCAAGCAUCCGCAACUACUAAAGAUCAUUAAGGUAAAACCCAACCAUAGCAUUAAAGUAUCAAGUCCCCUUUAUCCCAUAUACAACAAUCCCCUUGUUGGAAAUAUGCCCUAGAGGCAAUAAUAAAAGUAUUAUUAUUAUAUUUCCUUGUUCAUGAUAAUUGUCUUUUAUUCAUGCUAUAACUGUAUUAUCCGGAAAUCGUAAUACACGUGUGAAUACAUAGACCACAAUAUGUCCCUAGUGAGCCUCUAGUUGACUAGCUCGUUGUGAUCAACAAAUAGUCAUGGUUUCCUGGCUAUGGACAUUGGAUGUCGUUGAUAACGGGAUCACAUCAUUAGGAGAAUGAUGUGAUGGACAAGACCCAAUCCUAAGACUAGCACAAAAGAUCGUGUAGUUCAUUUGCUAGAGCUUUGCCAAUGUCAAGUAUCUCUUCCUUCGACCAUGAGAGCGUGUAACUCCUGGAUACCGUAGGAGUGCUUUGGGUGUAUCAAACGUCACAACGUAACUGGGUGACUAUAAAGGUGCACUACAGGUAUCUCCGAAAGUAUCUAUUGUUUUAUGCGGAUCGAGACUGGGAUUUGUCACUCCAUGUAAACGGAGAGGUAUCUCUGGGCCCACUCGGUAGGACAUCAUCAUAUGCGCAAUGUGACCAAGGAGUUGAUCACGGGAUGAUGUGUUACGAAACGAGUAAAGUGACUUGCCGGUAACGAGAUUGAACAAGGUAUUGGAUACCGACGAUCGAAUCUCGGGCAAGUAACAUACCGAUAGACAAAGGGAAUUGAAUACGGGAUUGAUUAAGUCCUUGACAUCGUGGUUCAUCCGAUGAGAUCAUCGUGGAACAUGUGGGAGCCAUCAUGGGUAUCCAGAUCCCGCUGUUGGUUAUUGACCGGAGAACGUCUCGGUCAUGUCUACAUGUCUCCCGAACCCGUAGGGUCUACACACUUAAGGUUCGAUGACGCUAGGGUUAUAAAGGAAGUUUGUAUGUGGUUACCGAAUGUUGUUCGGAGUCCCGGAUGAGAUCCCGGACGUCACGAGGAGUUCCAGAAUGGUCCGGAGGUAAAGAUUUAUAUAUGGGAAGUCCUAUUUUGGCCACCGGAAAAUGUUCGGGAUUUUUCGGUAUUGUACCGGGAAGGUUCUAGAAGGUUCCAGAGUGGGGCCCACCUGCAUGGGGGGACCCACAUGAACGUGGGUAGUGGGGGCAAGGCCCCACACCCCUGGUCAAGGCGCACCAAGAUCCCCCCUUAGAAGGAAUAAGAUCAUAUCCCGAAGGGAUAAGAUCAAGAUCCCUAAAAGGGGGGGAUAACAAUCGGUGGGGAAGGAAAUGAUGAGAUUUCUUUCUUCCCACCUUGGCCAACGCCCCAAUGGACUUGGAGGGCAAGAAACCAGCCCCUCCAUCCCUAUAUAUAGUGGGGAGGCGCAUGGGAGCGAUAGACGAAGUUCUGGCGCAGCCCUCCCCCUCUCCUAAGUACUUCUCCUCUCCCGCGGUGCUUGGCGAAGCCCUGCAGGACUACCACUCUCCUCCAUCACCACCACGCCGUUGUGCUGCUGCUGGAUGGAGUCUUCCUCAACCUCUCCCUCUCUCCUUGCUGGAUCAAGGCGUGGGAGACGUCACCGGGUUGUACGUGUGUUGAACGCGGAGGUGCCGUGCGUUCGGCACUUGAUCAUCGGUGAUUUGAAUCACGACGAGUACGACUCCAUCAACCCCGUUCACUUGAACGCUUCCGCUUAGCGAUCUACAAGGGUAUGUAGAUGCACUCUCCUUCUACUCGUAGCUGGUUUCUCCAUAGAUAGAUCUUGGUGACACGUAGGAAAUUUUUUGAAUUUCUGCUACGUUCCCCAACAGUGGCAUCAUGAGCUAGGUCUAUUGCGUAGAUUCUUUGCACGAGUAGAACACAAAGUAGUUGUGGGCGUUGAUGUUGUUCAAUAUGCUUACCGUUACUAGUCCAAUCUUGUUUCGACGGUAUUGUGGGAUGAAGCGGCCCGGACCGACCUUACACGUACUCUUACGUGAGACAGGUUCCACCGAUUUGACAUGCACUUGGUGCAUAAGGUGGCUAGCGGUCCUUAUGAAGGGUAAAUAGCAAUUGGCAUAUCACGUUGUGGUUUUGCGUAGGUAAGAAACGUUCUUGCUAGAAACCCAUAGCAGCCACGUAAAACAUGCAAACAACAAUUAGAGGACGUCUAACUUAUUUUUGCAGGGUAUGCUAUGUGAUGUGAUAUGGCCAAGAGGAAUGUGAUGAAUGAUAUGUGAUGUAUGAGAUUGAUCAUGUUCUUGUAAUAGGAUUCACGACUUGCAUGUCGAUGAGUAUGACAACCGGCAGGAGCCAUAGGAGUUGUCUUUAUUUAUUGUAUGACCUGCGUGUCAUUGAACAACGCCAUGUAAAUUACUUUACUUUAUUGCUAAACGUGUUAGCCAUAAAAGUAGAAGUAGUCGUUGGCGUGACAACUUCAUGAAGACACGAUGAUGGAGAUCAUGAUGAUGGAGAUCAUGGUGUCAUGCCGGUGACGAUGAUGAUCAUGGAGCCCCGAAGAUGAAGAUCAAAAGGAGCAAAAUGAUAUUGGCCAUAUCAUGUCACUAUUUGAUUGCAUGUGAUGUUUAUCAUGUUUAUGCAUCUUGUUUACUUAGGACGACGGUAGUAAAUAAGAUGAUCCCUUACAAAAUUUCAAGAAGUGUUCUCCCCUAACUGUGCACCGUUGCUACAGUUCGUCGCUUCUAAGCACCACGUGAUGAUCGGGUGUGAUGGAUUCUUACGUUCACAUACAACGGGUGUAAGACAGUUUUACACAGCGAAAACACUUAGGGUUAACUUGACGAGCCUAGCAUGUACAGACAUGGCCUCGGAACACGGAGACCGAAAGGUCGAGCAUGAGUCGUAUGGUAGAUACGAUCAACAUGAAGAUGUUCACCGAUGAUGACUAGUCCGUCUCACGUGAUGAUCGGACACGGCCUAGUUGACUCGGAUCAUGUGAUCACUUAGAUGACCAGAGGGAUGUCUAUCUGAGUGGGAGUUCAUAAGAUGAACUUAAUUAUCCUGAACAUAGUCAAAAGACCUUUUGCAAAUUAUGUCGUAGUUCACGCUAUAGUUCUACUGUUUUAGUUAUGUUCCUAGAGAAAAUAUAGUUGAAAGUUGACAGUAGCGAUUAUGCGGACACUAGAACGCUUAUGUCCUUAAUGCACUGCUUAGUGUGCUGAACCCCAAACGUCGUUUGUGGAUGUUUCGAACAUCGAACAUACACGUUUUGAUAACUACGUGAUAGUUCAGUUAAAUGGUUUAAGUAGAGGCACCAAAGACGUUUUCGAAACAUCGCGGAACAUAUGAGAUGUUUCGAGGGCUGAAAUUGGGAUUUCAGGCUCGUGCUCACGUCAAGAGGUAUAAGACCUCCGACGAUUCUCUUAGCCUGCAAACUAAGGGAAAAAAUUUCAAUCGUUGAGCUUGUGCUCAGAUUGUCUGAGUGCAACAAUCACUUGAAUUGAGUGGGAGUUGAUCUUCCAAAUGAGAUAGUGAUGUUUCUCCAAAGUCAUUGCCACCGAGCUGCUAGAGCUUCGUGAUGAACUAUAACAUAUCAGGGAUAAAUAAGAUGAUCCUUGAGGUAUUCACGAUGUUUGACACCGCGAAAGUAGAAAUCAAGAAGGAGCAUCAAUUGUUGAUGGUUGGUGAAACCACUAGUUUCAAGAAGGGCAAGGGCAAGAAGGGAUACUUCAUGAAACGGCAAAUCAGCUGCUGCUCCAGUGAAGAAACCCAAGGUUGAACCCAAACCCGAGACUAAGUGCUUCUGUAAUAAGGGGAACAGUCACUAGAGCAGAAUUACCCUAGAUACUUGGUAGAUGAGAAGGCUGGCAAGGUCGAUAGAAGUAUAUUGGAUAUACAUUAUGUUAAUGUGUACUUUACUAGUACUCCUAGUAGCACCAGGGUAUAAGAUACCGGUUCGGUUGCUAAGUGUUAGUAACUCGAAAUAAAAGCUACGGCAUAAACGGAGACUAGCUAAAGGUGAGCUGACGAUAUGUAUGGGAAGUGUUUCCAAUGUUGAUAUGAUCAAGCAUCGCACGCUCCCUCUACCAUCGAGAUUUGGUGUUUGCGUUGAGCAUAGACAUGAUUGGAUUAUGUCUAUCGCAAUACGGUUAUUCAUUUAUAGAGAAUAAUGGUUACUCUAUUUAUUUGAAUAAUACCUUCAAUGGUCUUGCACCUAAAAUGAAUGGUUCAUUGAAAUCUCGAUCGUAGUGAUACACAUGUUCAUGCCAAAAGAUAGUAAUGAUAGUACCACCUAUGUGUGGCACUGCCACGUAAGUCAUAUCGGUAUAAAAUGCAUGAAGAAGCUCCAUGUUGAUGGAUCUUUGGACUCACUCGUUUUAGAAAAGUUUGAGACAUGCGAACCAUGUCUAUUGGUGUAUACGCAUGAAGAAACUCCAUGCAGAUGGAUCGUUUGGACUCACUUGAUUUUGAAUCACUUGAGAUAUGCAAAUCAUACCACAUGGGCAAGAUGACUGAAAAGCCUCGUUUUCAGUAAGAUGGAACAAGAUAGCAACUUGUUGGAAGUAACACAUUUUGAUGUAUCCAAUCCAAUGAGUGCUGAGGCAUGCAGUGAAUAUCGUUAUGAUCUUACUUCACAGAUGAUUCGAGUAGAUGUUGAGAAUAUUUACUUGAUGAAAUACAAGUCUGAAUUAUUGAAUGGUUCAAGUAAUUUCAGAGUGAAGUAGAAGAUCAUUGUGACAAGAGGAUAAAAUGUCUAUGAUGUGAAUAUCUAAGUUACGAGUUUUGGCACACAAUUAAGACAUUGUGGAAAUUGUUUCGCAAUUAAUACCGCCUGGAACACCAUAGUGUGAUGGUGUGUCCGAACAUCAUAGUUGCACCCUAUUGGAUAUGGUGCGUACCAUGAUGUCUCUUAUCGAAUUACCACUAUUGUCCAUGGGUUAGGCAUUAGAGACAACCACAUUCACUUUAAAUAGGGCACCACGUAAUUCCGUUGAGAUGACACCGUAUGAAUUAUGGUUUAGAGAAACCUAAGUUGUCGUUUCUUAAAGGUUUGGGGCUGCAACGCUUAUGUGAAAAAGUUUCAGGAUUGAUAAGCUCGAACCCAAAGCGGAUAAAAUGCAUCUUCAUAGGACACCCAAAACAGUUGGGUAUACCUCCUGUCUCAGAUCCGAAAGCAAUAAGGGAUUGUUUCUAAAAUCAGGUACUUUCUCGAGGAAAAGUUUCUCUCAAAAGAAUUGAGUGGGAGGAUGGUGGAGACUUGAUGAGGUUAUUGAACCAUCACUUCAACAAGUGUGUAGCAGGGCACAGGAAGUUGUUCCUGUGGCACCUACACCAAUUGAAGUAGAAGCUUAUGAUAGUGAUCAUGAAGUUUCGGAUCAAGUCACUACCGUACCUUGUAGGGUGACAUGGAUACGUACUACUUCAGAGUGGUACGUAAUCAUGUCUUGGAAGUCAUGUUGCUAGACAACAAUGAGCCUACGAGCUAUGGAGAAGCGAUGGUGGGCCCGGAUUCCGAUAAAUGGCUUGAGGCCAUAAAAUCCGAGAGAGGAUCCAUGUAUGAAAACAAAGUGAAGACUUUGGUAGAACGGCUCGAUGGUCGUAAGGCAAAUGAGUACGGAUGGAUUUUAAAAGGAAGACAGACAAUGAUGGUAAGAAUUACCAUUAAGAAAGCUCGACUUGUCGUUAAGAUGUUUUCCGACAAGUUCAAGGAGUUGACUACGAUGAGAUUUUCUCACUCGUAGCGAUGCUAAGAGUCUGUUGGAAUUAUAUUAGCGAUUACUGCAUUAUUUAUGAAAUCUUGCAGAUAGGAUGUCAAAACAUUGUUUCCUCGACGAUUUUCUUGAGGAAAGGUUGUAUGUGAUACAACCGGAAGGUUUUGUCAAUCCCAAAAGAUGCUAAUAAGUAUGCAAAGCUCCAGCAAUCCUUCUAAGGACUGGAGUGAGCAUCUCGGAGUUGGAAUGUAUGCUUUGAUGAUGAUCAAAGAUUUUGGGUUUGUACAAAGUUUAUGAGAAACUUGUAUUUCCAAAGAAGUGAGUGGGAGCACUAUAGAAUUUCUGAUGAGUAUAUGUUGUUGACAUAUUGUUGAUCAGAAAUGACGUAGAAUUUCUGGAAAGCAUAUAGGGUUAUUUUGAAAGUGUUUUUCAAUGGAAAGCCUAGAUUAAGCUACUUGAACAUUGAGCAUCAAGAUCUAUAAGGAUAGAUCAAAAUGCUUAAUAAUACUUUCAAAUGAGCACAUACCUUGACAUGAUCUUGAAGGUGUUCAAGAUGGACCAGUCAAAGAAGGAGUUCUUGCCUGAGUUGUAAGGUACGAAGUUAAGACUUAAAGCUCGACCUCGGCAGAAUAGAGAGAAAGGACGAAGGUCGUCCCCUAUGCUUAAGACAUAGGCUCUACAGUAUGCCAUGCUGAGUACCGCACCUGAAAUGUGCCUUGCCAUGAGUCAGUCAAGGGGUACAAGAGUGAUCCAUGAAUGGAUCACAGACAGCGGUCAAAGUUAUCCUUGGUAACUAGUGGACUAAGGAAUUUUCUCGAUUAUGGAGGUGGUAAAAGAGUUCGUCGUAAAGGUUACGUCGAUGCAAGCUUAACACCUAUCCGGAUAGCUCUAAGAAGAGAUACCGGAUACGUAUUAUGGGGCAACAAUUUAGAAUAGCUCCAAGUAGAACAGUUAUUUGGAAUAGCUCCAAAUAAAGCGUGGUAGCUACAUCUAGGAGAUGACAUAGAGAUUUGUAAAGCACACACGGAUCUGAAAGGUUUGGACCCGUUGACUAAAACCUCUCUCACAAGCAACAUGAUCAAACCUAAAACUCUUGGGUAUUAAUCACAUGGCGAUGUGACCUGUGAGUGUUAAUCACAUGGCAAUGUGAACUAGAUUAUUGACUCUAGUGCAAGUGGGAGACUGUUGGAAAUAUGCCCUAGAGGCAAUAAUAAAAGUAUUAUUAUUAUAUUUCCUUGUUCAUGAUAAUUGUCUUUUAUUCAUGCUAUAACUGUAUUAUCCGGAAAUCGUAAUACACGUGUGAAUACAUAGACCACAAUAUGUCCCUAGUGAGCCUCUAGUUGACUAGCUCGUUGUGAUCAACAAAUAGUCAUGGUUUCCUGGCUAUGGACAUUGGAUGUCGUUGAUAACGGGAUCACAUCAUUAGGAGAAUGAUGUGAUGGACAAGACCCAAUCCUAAGACUAGCACAAAAGAUCGUGUAGUUCAUUUGCUAGAGCUUUGCCAAUGUCAAGUAUCUCUUCCUUCGACNNNNNNNNNNNNNNNNNNNNNNNNNNNNNNNNNNNNNNNNNNNNNNNNNNNNNNNNNNNNNNNNNNNNNNNNNNNNNNNNNNNNNNNNNNNNNNNNNNNNNNNNNNNNNNNNNNNNNNNNNNNNNNNNNNNNNNNNNNNNNNNNNNNNNNNNNNNNNNNNNNNNNNNNNNNNNNNNNNNNNNNNNNNNNNNNNNNNNNNNNNNNNNNNNNNNGAUACCGUAGGAGUGCUUUGGGUGUAUCAAACGUCACAACGUAACUGGGUGACUAUAAAGGUGCACUACAGGUAUCUCCGAAAGUAUCUAUUGUUUUGUGCGGAUCGAGACUGGGAUUUGUCACUCCGUGUAAACGGAGAGGUAUCUCUGGGCCCACUCGGUAGGACAUCAUCAUAUGCGCAAUGUGACCAAGGAGUUGAUCACGGGAUGAUGUGUUACGGAACGAGUAAAGUGACUUGCCGGUAACGAGAUUGAACAAGGUAUUGGAUACCGACGAUCGAAUCUCGGGCAAGUAACAUACCGAUAGACAAAGGGAAUUGAAUACGAGAUUGAUUAAGUCCUUGACAUCGUGGUUCAUCCGAUGAGAUCAUCGUGGAACAUGUGGGAGCCAUCAUGGGUAUCCAGAUCCCGCUGUUGGUUAUUGACCGGAGAACGUCUCGGUCAUGUCUACAUGUCUCCCGAACCCGUAGGGUCUACACACUUAAGGUUCGAUGACGCUAGGGUUAUAAAGGAAGUUUGUAUGUGGUUACCGAAUGUUGUUCGGAGUCCCGGAUGAGAUCCCGGACGUCACAAGGAGUUCCAGAAUGGUCCGGAGGUAAAGAUUUAUAUAUGGGAAGUCCUAUUUUGGCCACCGGAAAAUGUUUGGGAUUUUUCGGUAUUGUACCGGGAAGGUUCUAGAAGGUUCCGGAGUGGGGCCCACCUGCAUGGGGGGACCCACAUGAACGUGGGUAGUGGGGGCAAGGCCCCACACCCCUGGUCAAGGCGCACCAAGAUCCCCCCUUAGAAGGAAUAAGAUCAUAUCCCGAAGGGAUAAGAUCAAGAUCCCUAAAAAGGGGGGAUAACAAUCGAUGGGGAAGGAAAUGAUGAGAUUUCUUUCCUCCCACCUUGGCCAACGCCCCAAUGGACUUGGAGGGCAAGAAACCAGCCCCUCCACCCCUAUAUAUAGUGGGGAGGCGCAUGGGAGCGAUAGACGAAGUUCUGGCGCAGCCCUCCCCCUCUCCUAAGUACUUCUCCUCUCCCGCGGUGCUUGGCGAAGCCCUGCAGGACUACCACGCUCCUCCAUCACCACCACGCCGUUGUGCUGCUGCUGGAUGGAGUCUUCCUCAACCUCUCCCUCUCUCCUUGCUGGAUCAAGGCGUGGGAGACGUCACCGGGCUGUACGUGUGUUGAACGCGGAGGUGUCGUGCGUUCGGCACUUGAUCAUCGGUGAUUUGAAUCACGACGAGUACGACUCCAUCAACCCCGUUCACUUGAACACUUCCGCUUAGCGAUCUACAAGGGUAUGUAGAUGCACUCUCCUUCUACUCGUAGCUGGUUUCUCCAUAGAUAGAUCUUGGUGACACGUGGGAAAUUUUUUGAAUUUCUGCUACGUUCCCCAACACCCCUUACUUGGGUUUAAGCUUGUGUCACUCUAGCAACCCACUAUAAGCAAAUCAUAAACGUAUUGCAACACCCUACAGCGGGAAUCCCUCAUGCUUGCGCGACACGGAGGGCACAAUAGGACAACAACAUAACCACAAGCAAAUUAAACCAAUCAUAGCAAUUCAUCAAUCACCGGUAGGACAACGAAAAUCUACUCAGACAUCAUAGGAUGGCAACACAUCAUUGGAUAAUAAUAUGAAGCAUAAAGCACCAUGUUCAAGUAGAGGGUACAACGGGUUGCGGGAGAGUGGACUGCUGAAUAUAGAUGGGGGAAGGUGAUGGAGAUGUUGGUGAAGAUGGUGAAGGUGUUGGUGAAGAAAGUGGUGAUGAUGAUGGCCCCCGGCGUUCCGGCGCCACCGGAAGCAAGGGGGAGAGAGCCCCCCUUCUUUUUCUUCUUCUUCCUUGACCUCCUCCCUAGAUGGGAGAAGGGUUUCCCCUUUGGUCCUUGGCUCCCAUGGCGUGGGAGGGGCGAGAGCCCCUUCGAGAUUGGAUCUGUCUCUUUGUCUCUCUCUGUUUCUGCGUUCUCAGAUUAUGCCCAUUCACAGUUGCUUUUAUAUCCGGAGAUCCGUAACUCCGAUUGGGGUGAAUCUUUCGCCCAGAUUUUUCUCAUAAAAUUAGCUUUCUUGCGGCAAAAGAAGAGUGUCAACCGCCUUACGGGGUGCCUAGGAGAGUCCAGGCAGCGCCUGCCUCCCUGGGGCGCGCCCCCUGUCUCCUGGCCCCCUCGGGCACCAUCUCGUGUUGAUUUUACUUCCCAAAAAUCACAAACAUUCUAAAAUAAUUCUCCGUCUGUUUGAUCCCAUUUGGACUCCGUUUGAUAUGGGGUUUCUCCGAAACAUAAAACAUGCAACAGACCGGAACUGGCACUGGGCACUGGAUCAAUAUGUUACUCCCAAAAAUAAUAUUAAAAGUUGUCAAAAGUAUAUGAAAGUUGAAGAAUGUUGGCAUGGAACAAUCAAAAAUUAUAGAUACGACGGAGACGUAUUAGCAUCCCCAAGCUUAAUUCCUGCUCGUCCUCGAGUAGGUAAAUGAUAAAAAAAUAAUUUUUGAUGUGGAAUGCUACCUAGCAUAAUCUUGAUCAUAUGUCUAAUCAUGGCAUGAAUAUUAAGACAUGAGUGAUUCAAGGCAAUAGUCUAUCAUUUGACAUAAAAACAAUAAUACUUCAGGCAUACCAACCAAGCAAUUAUGUCUUACCGAAAUAACAUACCCAAAGAAAGCUCAUCCCUACAAAAUCAUAUAGUCUGGCUAUGCUCCAUAUUCAUUACACAAAAUACCCCCUCAUGCACAACCCUGGUUUCAGCCAAGCAAUUGGUUCAUACUUUUUAACGCGCUUCAACUUUUUCAACUCUUACGCAAUACAUGAGCGCAAGCCAUGGACAUAGCAUUAUGGUGGUAUAUGGUGGUGGUUGUGAGGACAAAAAGGGAGAAGAUAGUCUCACAUCAACUAGGCGUAUCAACGGGCUAUGGAUAUGCCCCUCAAUAGAUAUCAAUGUGAGUGAGUAGGGAUUGCCAUGCAACGGAUGCACUAGAGCUAUAAAUAUAUGAAAGCUCAACAAAAGAAACUAAGUGGGUGUGCAUCCAACUUGCUUGCUCAGGAAGACCUAGGGCAUUUUGAGGAAGCCCAUCAUUGGAAUAUACAAGCCAAGUUCUAUAAUGAAAAAUUCCCACUAGUAUAUGAAAGUGAAAACAUAGGAGACUCUCUAUGAAGAACAUGGUGCUACUCUGAAGCACAAGUGUGGUAAAAGGAUAGUAACAUUGCCCCUUCUCUCUUUUUCUCUCAUUUUUUUAUUUUCUCUCUCUUUUUUUUCUUUUUUUUUGAUUGGGCUUCUUUGGGCCCCCUUUUUUUGGCUUCUUUGGCCUUUUUUUUCCAUUAAGUCCGGAGUCUCAUCCCGACUUGUGGGGGAAUCAUAGUCUCCAUCAUCCUUUCCUCACUGGGGCAGUGCUCUAAUAAUGAUGAUCAUCACACUUUUAUUUACUUACAACUCAAUAUCACAACUCGAUAUCUAGAACAAAGAUAUGACUCUAUAUGAAUGCCUCCGGCGGUGUACCGGGAUAUGCAAUGAAUCAAGAGUGACAUGUACGAAAAUUAUGAGGGUGGCCUUGCCACAAAUACAAUGUCAACUACAUGAUCAUGCAAAGAGCAAUAUGACAAUGAUGGAGCGUGUCAUAAUAACGGAACUGUGGAAAGUUGCAUGGCAAUAUAUCUCGGAAUGGCUAUGGAAAUACCAUAAUAGGUAGGUAUGGUGGCUGUUUUGAGGAAGGUAAAUAAUGGGUUCAUGACACCAGCGAAAGUUGCGCGGCACAAUAGAGGCUAGCAAAGUGGAAGGGUGAGUGUGCGUAUAUCCAUGGACUCACAUUAGUCAUAAAGAACUCAUAUACUUAUUGCAAAAGUCUACUUGCCCUCGAAGCAAAGUACUACUACGCAUGCUCCUAGGGGAAGGGUUGGUAGGAGUUAACCAUCGCGCGAUCCCGACCUCCACUCAUAAGGAAAGCAAUCAAAGAACACCUCAUGCUCCAACUUUGUUACAUAACGGUUCACCAUACGUGCAUGCUACGGGACUUGCAAACCUCAACACAAGUAUUUCUCAAUUUCACAAUUACUCAACUAGCACGACUCUAAUAUCACCACCUUUAUAUCACAAAACUAUUGCAAGGAAUCAAACAUAUCAUAUUCAGUGAUCUACAGUUUUAUGUAGGAUUUUAUGACUAAUCAUGCGAAUGACCAAUUCCUGUCAUCUCUCUAAAUAGAUAUAAGUGAAGCAAGAGAGUUUAAUUCUUUCUUCAAAAGAUAUGCCCACGCUCUAACAAAUAUAAGUGAAGCAAAAGAGCAUUCUACAAAUGGCGGUUUUCUAUGUGAAGAGAAACAUGCAAUCCAAACUUCAAAUGAUAUAAGUGAAGCACAUGAAGCAUUCUAUAAAGCCAUACUCAAAAGAUUUAAGUGAAGUGAAAUGAGCAUUCUAUAAAUAAACCAAGGACUAUCUCAUACCAGCAUGGUGCAUAAAAUAAAAGUGAAAACUAAAUGCAAAAGACGCUCCAAGAGUUGCACAUAUCGCAUGAACGAAAUGAAUACGAAAACAUACCGAUACUUGUUGAAGAAAGAGGGGAUGCCUUCUGGGGCAUCCCCAAGCUUAGACGCUUGAGUCUCCUUGAAUAUUUACUUGGGGUGCCUUGGGCAUCCCCAAGCUUGAGCUCUUGCCUCUCUUCCUUUUCCUCAUAUCGAGACCUCCUCGAUUAGACACUUCAUCCACACAAAACUUCAACAGAAAACUCGGUAAGAUCCGUUAGUAUAAUAAAGCAAAUCACUACUCUAAGUACUAUAGAAAACCAAUUCAGAUAUUAUUUUUGCAUUGUGUCUACUGUAAUAUAGCUUUUUCAUGGCUUAAUCCACUGAUAGAAAUUGAUAGUUUCAUCAAAACAAGUAAACUAUGCAUCAAAAACAGAAUCUGUCAAAAACAGAACAGUAUGUAGCACUCUGAACAUUCACCAUACUUAUGGUACCCCAAAAAUUCUACCAAAAUUAGGAAACGUAAACAAGUUGUACAGCAAGACAGUGCAAAAAGAAUCAGAACCAUUUGGUGUUCCAGUAAAAAAUGUAAAAUCGCGCACUACAGUCAAAGUUUCUGUCCUGCACUGCACAAACCAACAAGCAUUGUAAACAUCCUAAAGGCAAACCUUGGCACAUUAUUUUUAUAAUACAAUGUAAUUGUACAAGGGGAUAAUUAUUUUUGUUGAAAAGUUUUCUGUAAUCAAGAUUCACAAAGUUUCCGUGAGCAUGAAAAAAGUUCAGGGCUAGCUCCCACUUCAACAAUGCUUGUCUUUCUCACUUUCACUUUCCUUUUUGAAAAGUUUUUAGGUUCCCCUCUUUAUUUUUUUGUUUUUAAACUAUAUGAAAGCACUCAACAGAAAUAAAUGACUCUCUAAAACUUUCGGGUUGUCUCCCUGGCAGCGCUUUCUUUAAAGCCAUUAAGCUAGGCAUUUAGUGCUCAAGUAAUGGAUCCACCAGGAUUCCAAGGUAUAUCAAAGCCAAUUUUAAUUAACAAUGAUUUGUAAUUUAGUAGUGAGCAUAAAGUAACAUAUAUCAAGCAAUGACAAAGUCUAACUCUCUUUCUAUGCAUCGGCAUGUCAUAAAAGAACAAUUCAUGCACACAUAGUAAAUGCCAAUGCAUAAUAUAAGCAGUUUCUUGCAAUUCUAUCGUGUUAGAAACAUAAAGAGGCGGAGAUGUAGUUCCUCUCUCAUAAUAAUUGCAAGUAGGAGCAGCAAGCACAUGCAUAUCACAUUCAUCAAAAUUAUCAUGUGCAAUGGUAAAAGGCAACCCAUCAAUAUAAUCCUUAAUAAGCACAAACUUCUCCGAUAUAGUGUAGUCGGGAGAAUUCAAAAAGAUAAUAGGACUAUCAUGCGUGGGUGCAAUAGCAACAAUUUCAUGUUUAACAUAAGGAACUAUAGCAAGUUCAUCUCCAUAAGCAUAAAUCAUAUUGGCAUCUUGGCCACAAGCAUAGCAAGUAUCAUCAAAAAGGGAUAUUUCAAGAGAAUCAACGUGAUCAUAACAAUCAUCCUUCGGUAAGUACGAAGGAAAAUUAAACAAUGUAUGAGUUGAAGAGUUACUCUCAUUAGAAGGUGGGCACGGGUAGCUAAUCCGCUCUUCCUCCUUUUGUUCUUCGCUCUCCUCAUCAACUUUUUCAUCCAAUGAGCUCACAAUUUCAUCAAUUUCUUAGUCUCUUCUUGGACAGCGGAGAAGUCCUCAAUAUAUAGUUUAACAUAGGCAUUAGAAGCAUAAUUAUCAUAACAGUAUUUAAAUAUGGCAAAAUUUUCAGAUUUGUAAAGAGUAGCAUUAUACUUUUCAAUCAAAGAAGCAAUUUCAUAAGCACCCUUAAAAGCAACAAAUUCUUCAAUUUGUUGAACAUCAUAGUAAUUAUAAACACCCUUAGCAUACGAAGAUACGAUUCCAUUAUCAAUAAACUCACAUUGGUAGGGAAGGUGUUUCUUAGGGUUUUCAGAACAACAAGUAACAUUAUAUAUUUCACAUAAAUUCCAAGCAUAGCAUUGCAAAUGAUGAAUUUGAUCCAGUAAAAGUUUCCCUUUUUCAGAUAUACGGUGUCGCACAUAACAAGCAUGCUCAUCUAAAGAUUUUCCCUCAACUAAGCUAGUGGGGGUUUCAGCACGAGCACAAAGGGAUCGAAGAUGAUCCAAGUCAAAAGCUUCAGGAGUGUGAUAGAUUUUGAGUGGUUCUUCAACCAUUGGUGUAGUAGGUACAACUAAUUUUUUUGGUUGCGUUUCCUACCCAUAACUAAAGAUAGAAAACAACUAAGAAAAGCAAAUAAAAUUUACUUCGUGAUAAAGCAAACAAGCACACACGAGAAUAUUCACCACACGCUAUGACUCCCCGGCAACGGCGCCAGAAAAAGGUCUUGAUAACCCGCAAGUAUACGGGAUCAAUGUAGCCUCUUUCGAUAAGUAAGAGUGUCAAACCCAACGAGGAGCUAAAGGUAGAACAAAUAUUCUCUCAAGUCCUAUCUGCCACUGAUACGACUCUACGCACGCUUAGUGUUCGCUUUACCUAGAACAAGUAUGAAACUAGAAGUACUUUGUAGGUGUUGUUGGAUAGGUUUGCAAGAUAAUAAAGAGCACGUAAAUAUAAACUAGGGCUGUUUAGAUAAAGAUGCAAAUAAAUAAAUAUAGCGAGUGUGGAAAAGUGGUGGUAGGAGUUGUGAAAUUGUCCCUAAGCAAUUGACUACUUUACUAGACCGAUAGCAAGUUUUAUGUGGGAGAGGCAUAAGCUAACAUACUUUCUCUUCUUGGGUCAUAUGCACUUAUGAUUGGAACUCUAGCAAGCAUCCGCAACUACUAAAGAUCAUUAAGGUAAAACCCAACCAUAGCAUUAAAGUAUCAAGUCCCCUUUAUCCCAUACGCAAUAAUCCCCUUACUCGGGUUUAAGCUUCUGACACUCUAGCAACCCACUAUAAGCGAGUCAUGAACAUAUUGCAACACCCUACAGCGGGAAUCCCUCACGCUUGGACGACACGGAGGGCACAAUAGGACAGCAACAUAACCACAAGCAAAUUAAACCAAUCAUAGCAAUUCAUCAAUCACCGGUGAGACAACGAAAAUCUACCCAGAAUCAUAGGAUGGCAACACAUCAUUGGAUAAUAAUAUGAAGCAUAAAGCACCAUGUUCAAGUAGAGGGUACAGUGGGUUGCGGGAGAGUGGACCGCUGAAUAUAGAUGGGGGAAGGUGAUGAAGAUGUUGGUGAAGAUGGGGGAGGUGUUGGUGAAGAUCGCGGUGAUGAUGAUGGUCCUCGGCGGUGUUCCGGCGCCACUGGAAGCAAGGGGGAGAGAGCCCCCUUCUUCUUCUUCUUCCUUGACCUCCUCACUUGAUGGAGAGUCCAGGGCGCGCCUGCCUCCCUGGGGCGCCCCCCUGUCUCCUGGCCCCCUCGGGCACCGUCUCGCGUUGAUUUUACUUCUCAAAAAUCACAAAUAUUCCAAAAUAAUUCUCCGUUCGUUUUUAUCCCGUUUGGACUCCGUUUGAUAUGAGAUUUCUGCGAAACAUAAAACAUGCAGCAGACAGGAACUGACACUGGGCACUGGAUCAAUAUGUUAGUCCCAAAAAUAGUAUAAAAAAUUGUCAAAAGUAUAUGAAAGUUGAAGAAUAUUGGCAUGGAUCAAUCAAAAAUUAUAGAUACGUUGAAGACGUAUCAAGCAUUCCCAAGUUUAAUUCCUGCUCGUCCUCGAGUAGGUAAAUAAUAAAAACAAUAAUUUACGAGGACAUGUAUGAAUAGAGAGAGCAUGAGCUGAAGGCUAACAUUGUUUGCCAUUUGAACUAUUUAACUCGUUAACAUAGUUCCACAUAGAUAAAAUACAGAGCUCUACGGUGGACCGAAUAGAUAGCAUUCGCAGGAUGCUUCUAUGUUGCAUGAGGUCACGAGUUUGAAUCCCCUUGAUAGAAUUACAGUUCCUUUUGUUUGUUUUUUCUACCAUCUACCAGGACCUGUAUGAGUAGAGAGAGCACUGUUUUUUCGUGAACUAUUUCACCAGCCAAGUGAGCUACGUAACCACAAAUCGUAUUGAAUAACGGUAGGCGUAUUCCAAAGUAUAUGGAUCAAAGUGUGCUUCCACAACACUCUGUUUGUUGAACGCCAGUGUAUUUUUAACUAUUUAUUUACUUGACGAGAAUCAGAUGAACCCUUUCUUCCAAAAAAAAUAUAUAAUAAAAGGAAGCUAACUAUUUUCCCUUCAUUUCUUUCUGUUGUGCUUCCAGUAAAGGAACACAUUUUUGAUAAAUACCCAAAUGCUUUCUCAAAUAUGCAUGAACAUAUUUUAAAAGUAGACGGACAUUUUCUUCUAACAAGCGUGAACACUUUUUAAAAUUGCAAGAACAUUUUCAGACAUGAGAGACUUUUUAACACUGUUUUAAAACUGCAACCGAGCACUUUUUUAAACUACAUGAAAAAAUUUAAAUACCAGGAUGAACAUUUUUUAAACACAGAAUGGGCUUUNNNNNNNNNNNNNNNNNNNNNNNNNNNNNNNNNNNNNNNNNNNNNNNNNNNNNNNNNNNNNNNNNNNNNNNNNNNNNNNNNNNNNNNNNNNNNNNNNNNNNNNNNNNNNNNNNNNNNNNNNNNNNNNNNNNNNNNNNNNNNNNNNNNNNNNNNNNNNNNNNNNNNNNNNNNNNNNNNNNNNNNNNNNNNNNNNNNNNNNNNNNNNNNNNNNNNNNNNNNNNNNNNNNNNNNNNNNNNNNNNNNNNNNNNNNNNNNNNNNNNNNNNNNNNNNNNNNNNNNNNNNNNNNNNNNNNNNNNNNNNNNNNNNNNNNNNNNNNNNNNNNNNNNNNNNNNNNNNNNNNNNNNNNNNNNNNNNNNNNNNNNNNNNNNNNNNNNNNNNNNNNNNNNNNNNNNNNNNNNNNNNNNNNNNNNNNNNNNNNNNNNNNNNNNNNNNNNNNNNNNNNNNNNNNNNNNNNNNNNNNNNNNNNNNNNNNNNNNNNNNNNNNNNNNNNNNNNNNNNNNNNNNNNNNNNNNNNNNNNNNNNNNNNNNNNNNNNNNNNNNNNNNNNNNNNNNNNNNNNNNNNNNNNNNNNNNNNNNNNNNNNNNNNNNNNNNNNNNNNNNNNNNNNNNNNNNNNNNNNNNNNNNNNNNNNNNNNNNNNNNNNNNNNNNNNNNNNNNNNNNNNNNNNNNNNNNNNNNNNNNNNNNNNNNNNNNNNNNNNNNNNNNNNNNNNNNNNNNNNNNNNNNNNNNNNNNNNNNNNNNNNNNNNNNNNNNNNNNNNNNNNNNNNNNNNNNGCAGAUUCGGAAACGACGGCGCCCGGGUGGUGAUCUGCGCGUUUCCCCAGGGGCAUCGCGACCCAUCCCUCUCACCUGAGCGCGCUCGUCAGAGUAGGACGGGGAUCUAUUUUCCCCCCACUUCGAUCCAGGCUGCCUGCGUCUUGUGGAUUGUCGUUAAGCUUGUUCAGGUUUAGAACUGUAUGUGGGGGGGAACAAUGCCACGGCAGCAAUCUGCUUCCAGCAAUGCUUUGGGUUUUUGGCUGAUUGGAUCAAGUUGGGGUUGGUAUUUACUUAGUUGCUGCCAAAUUUUUGAGUUGUUGAAGUAUAAAAUUAGGGUUGGUUCAUGGAUAGAUCUUUAGGCAUAGCGACUCUGAUGUUUGCUUAUAUCUGACUAGUUCUUUGAUCUGUGGUGCGCAGGCUCGUGGGCGGAGCUGGCGACAUCAAGCUGACCAAGGACGGGAACACCCUCUUGAAAGAAAUGGUAUUAUUAAUUAAAGGAGCUGGUGACAUCAUGCUCUUUCGUCCGGUUUCUGAGGCUUUUGUGUUGUUGCUAUUCGCAGCAAAUCCAGAACCCAACGGCAAUCAUGAUUGCGAGGACGGCGGUGGCGCAGGACGACACGAGUGGCGAUGGCACCACGUCCACUGUGCUUUUCAUCGGGGAGCUUAUGAAGAUGUCUGAGCGAUGCAUCGAAGAAGGUCUGUAUAUGGGGUCCCGUCCCUCUUAUCUGCUUUUGAUGAUUCUAAUCACUGAUAUAUAUGGUUGUUGCUGCAUGAAAUUUGCUGCUUGCAUUUGAAAUGUUAUUUAGGCAUCUGUGGGAGCUCUAUAAAGUUAAAUGUGAUUAUCCUUUUCAUAGGGUGUGUACCCCCUUUUGGCCAAAUAUGUGCUUGUGCGAUGUUUGCGGUUAAUCUUUCUGAACUGUAUUCUUCUGCUGGGGAUCAUGGGCUGGUAUUCUGGCUCAAUGCAUCCAAUUAGUUGAUUAGGAUUACGAAUGUCUGCUUUUACAUAGUAAUGCAAUAUUCACAUGUAAACACAAGUGCCUACACAGUAAGUGAAGAUGAAUAAUAGUUGACCUGUGCCAUUGUUUAAUGUUUAUGGGUGUUGCAUCCUUGAGAUAUUUGAAUGUGACUGUAGCACAACUAAUUGACUGGAUCAAAGCCAACUGAAGAUAGAGAGUAGUGCAGUAUAAUUUUAAAUUUUUACUAGUUUUGAGAUAAAGACUACUCUUGCAGCAUGUCAACAUGAAUUUUGUGGACAAUAUUGUGCUCUGAACAUGCAUUUCCCAGUUGAUUGCUACACAUUAUGGCGAAAAGAUUAACCUUAACAUAUGGGCCUUCUGCUCUAAACUUGUGACAAAAUGUUGCCUCUAAUUGCUGUGCUGUUUCUUAGAGGGAAAACCCAUGUGUUUAUAUGGUAGCCUGCUCCUUGCUAUAAGUACAUAGUAACAGAUUGUUAUUUUUGCAGGUACUCAUCCACGGUUUUUGGUUGAUGGCUUUGAGGUUGCCAAGAAAGCAACUCUUGAAUUUCUCGAGACAUUCAAGACAGCAGUCGUUAUCGGUGAUCAACCUGACAGGGAGAUCUUGAAAAUGGUAGCAAGAACAACUCUUAGGACAAAGGUGAUUGCACUCUAUUUCACCAUUUUUCUUUGGAAACAAAUGUACACAUAUAUACCAAGGCUUACACAAAAUUUGAUAUUUUGUAGCUGUAUGAAUCAUUGGCUGAUCAGUUGACCGAUAUUGUUGUGAAUGCGGUAAUGUUAUAUUUCUUUUACAGUGUUUCCUUUGGAGGCUUUCAUUCCACAAAAUGGCUUAGCAUAUUUCUAUUUUCUGCAUGGUCCAUGCUGUAGGUCCUAUGCAUCCGCCAGAGUGAUCAACCAAUUGAUCUUUUUAUGGUGGAAAUAAUGCAUAUGCGCCACAAAUUCGAUGUCGACACACGUCUGGUAUGUAUUUUUUUCUUUUCUUUGCAGUUUGCCUAGUAUAACAUCCUUCUGAACUUCAUAGACCUUUGGAUAAAUAGUUCAUAUGUAUUUUCUGUCACGAGCUUGUGAACAUGGUUGAACACCUGUUCGUUUGUUUUUUUGUAGAUUGAGGGUCUGGUCCUUGACCAUGGUUCUCGGCACCCUGACAUGAAGCGCAGAGCAGAGAAUUGUUACAUCCUGACAGCUAAUGUGUCACUGGAAUACGAGAAAAGGUGCAUACUUUUGCAUAGAGUGCUUUGUUGCAUACUCUAGUUCUAUUAAUCACCAUAGUACAUUCUUUCAAUUUGACUGCACCAAAUAUAGGAAGGUUCAUGCUUCAAUAUUUGUCAAAAACAUGAAUCUUACCUACAAUCAUGGACUUCAGUCAGCUUAUGUUACUUUCUUGCAUGUUGUGGGGCAACUAGUAGUGCACAGCAGCAGUCUGUCUUUACCUGUUUUACAUGCAUCAGUGAAGGGAACUGUUUAACUGACGCAUAAGUUUCUCAGUGAAAUCAAUGCAGGAUUCUUCUACUCAAACGCAGAACAAAGAGAAAAGAUGGUUACUGCAGAGAGGCGUCAAGUUGAUGAACGUGUCCAGAAGAUCAUUGAAUUGAAAAAUAAGGUAUUUGCUUAGCGUCUCUCUCUCUCUCUCUCUCUCUCUCUCUCUCUCUCUCUCUCUCUCUCUCUCUCUCUCUCUCUCGUGCGCGUUUGGAAAAUGUUGUCUUCACGUGUUUCCUUGGCCAUGCAGGUUUGCGCAGGAACUGACAAGAAUUUUGUGGUGAUCAACCAAAAGGGCAUCGAUCCUCCAUCCCUCGAUCUCCUAGCUAGAGCUGGGGUAACCAAUUCUGACUUGUUUCUACAUGAUGUUUCUAAUUUGCUUACAUUCAACCUUGAUCUGUUUGGGGUUCCAGUUAAAAAUUUGUCUCAUGGUGUCACCAGCUGAACUUGUAACAUGAAAGUUGAUAUGACAUUAUACAUAAUGUUACUCUAUAAGCCACAAGAUGUAACUAUCUAAAACCUAAGCAUGACGGUCAAUAUUUCAAAUGAUGGCAAUGCAAUAAAUUAUUCAGCUUUCAGUUCAUGCAUUGUUAAUUUUGAAGUAACAAGUUCUUGCAUGGGGGCCUUGUUACAUUUUAAGCUCAAGAAUUUGCAUGCUGCAGAUUAUUGCUCUCCGAAGAGCGAAGCGGAGGAACAUGGAGAGACUUGUGCUAGCAUGUGGCGGUGAAGCCAUCAAUUCAGUUGAAGGCAUGACUGAAGACUGUCUUGGCUGGGCUGGGCUUGUCUAUGAGCAUGUUCUUGGAGAAGAAAAAUACACGUUCGUGGAGAAUGUUAAGAACCCUCACUCCUGUACAAUUUUGAUCAAAGGUCAGUUCAUUCUCGAGAAACAAUAGGAUCUUUUCCAAAACUACCUAUGUUGGAAACUUACUAUAAAUUCAUCUCUCUUCAGGACCUAAUGAUCACACCAUUGCACAAAUUAAGGAUGCCGUACGAGAUGGUCUAAGAUCUGUGAAGAACACAGUUGAGGAUGAAGCUGUUGUGCUGGUAUGAUUUGUAAAUUUAUUCUGCAUGACAGCAACUAAACAAAUGUUUGGCUAAAUAAAUAUGCACAUUUGAUCAUCAUAUAGCUGAGCUUAUGCUAACGAUAUGUGGGUCUUGAUUUUCAAAGGGUAUUGGCUUUGAUUAGGAUUUCGUAGUUUGCAUGAUGUGCCUGGAACUUUAUGAACUACUUGACCAUAGUAAUUUGUCAUUAUAUUUUUACCUUGGAUGCCAUCCUGGUGCGUUCAACUUGAUUUAUGUUGAGGCAUUACUUGUAUUGUUUGUUUGGGUCAGGUGUGACAUACUCCCUCCGUUCCUCAAUAUAAGGUGUAUUAUUUUUCCAAAAAGUCAAACUUCUCUAAGUUUGACCAAGUUUAUAGACAAAAAUAUCAAUAUCUAGAAUACCAAAUCACUAUCACUAGAUUCAUCAUGGACUAUAUUUUUACAUUUUAUAUAUUUAGUAUUAUAAAUCUUUAUACAUUUUGCUGUAAAGUUGGUCAAACAUAGACAACAGUUGACUUUUUAAAAAACUAAUACACCUUAUAUUUAGGAACGGAGGGAGUAAUUCAUAGAGUUAAUAGUGUUGAUGCUAAUUGAUUAUGUUACUCUUAAUGAUUUUCUUACAUGCGACUGACCGGUUGCUUAUGGCAUCCAUUUUAUUAUCGCAGGCUGUCUUGUUUUGCUUGAGUAUCUUGCUUAUUUGCUUUGGAUCUUGGUUGACUGGUGUUUUCUUUGUCAUCUUAUUAUAUUUUCUAUUUGAUUUGUCAAUUUUAGGGGGCUGGAGCGUUCGAGAUGGCUGCAAGGAAGCAUCUCAUUGACAAUGUGAAGAAAACCGUUAAAGGAGUAAGUGCAUUGAAGAAUCGACAUGCUCUUUUCUACCGUAUCCAUAUCAGUAUGACGGUGCUAACUUUGGAAUCUUAACAACAGCGAGCCCAACUUGGGGUGGGGGCAUUUGCCGAUGCUCUACUCGUUAUCCCCAAGACGCUAGCAGAGAAUUCGGGCUUAGAUACCCAAGAUGUUAUUGUCUCUCUUGAGGUAUGUGCUUCCACUCGUUGUAUUGUUUCUUCCUUGCACUUAUUUUGUCUCGAGUUUGUGCAUCAGAAAAGUUGUAACUGUAUGUGUCGGCUGAUGUUCCAUCCUGUACAACAGAAUGAGCACGACCGUGGGCUGGUGGUGGGGCUGAACCACAACAGUGGCGAGCCGGUCGACCCUGAGAUGGAAGGCAUCUACGACAACUACUCGGUGAAGCGCCAGAUCGUGAAUUCCGGGUAUGUGACAAUACAAUGUUCAAUUCUGAGUUCAUUCUCCAAAAGAAAAAAGAUGAGUAUUAUUUGUGACGUGCGUUGACAAACGGUCUUUGGUUGUCUGGUGGUGCAGACCCAUCAUCGCGUCGCAGCUGUUGCUAGUGGAUGAGGUGAUCAGGGCAGGGCGCAACAUGAGGAAACCAACCUAAACCCAGCACUCGCCCCUUCUAGGCCGAGACAAGUUUUUGUUUGGCUAUUUUUCUCUCUGGUGCCGAGUACUUAGCAAGUAGUGAUGUGGUGGGGGUGGAAUGCUUGAUUGGAAGAGAUUGUACUUGUAACGACCCUCGUGACAACGUUUGUAUGCAGAAUGUUUUCGUGUUGGAUCAAAGUUGAGCAGCUAUGUAUUUUUGUGUGUGCGUGCGUCUGGUGAUUGCAUUCUUUUUUCUAUUGAGCAAAGCCUGCCUGAAAAGAUAUGGUUGUAGCAUGUCUGGUCGUUUUUGGUUGUUGCGCGUCCCAAGUGGAGUGACACUUUUUUGUUGCUGUUUCCUCAGUUUUGCGAUUCUGAAUUGCAGAAUGAUAUCUUCGCUGUCGGCCUUGCGUCAUGGCACGAUAAAAGGCAGUUGCUGUCUAGUUCAAUAGUUCAUUCCGGCCCAGUGAGCCCGCCCUUUUCUAGCCUAUCGAAAUAUGGGUGUAACCCCAAAAAAGAAAGAUAAAAAGCGUAGCUCCUUUUUUGAACUAUAUGCUCGUAUUUCGCCCACUUUUUGGCGACACACCUUUUAUUUGGCGCGGUCGAACAAACAGACAGACAGAGUAUUCCUGCCGUGGAACCUUGAGAUUAUUAUGCUCCAACUAUCAAAUAUAAUACUCCAUCAUCAAAUACUCCCCCGUCCCAAAAUUUUUGUCUUGGAUUUAUUUAAAUACGGAUGCAUCUAGUGACAUUUUAGUGUUAGAUACAUCCGUAUCUAGACGACGGAGGAAGUAUAAAAUGUGGCAUUGAAAGUAAUAAUAAUUAUUAUUUGUCUCUCACAAGUGUACGUCGACCUGGUCGCUUUCUUCAACGUAGGCAUCGAUCGGCCGUAUCGUAAUUGAUUGGACGGCGGAGAUAUCUGAAAAGGCAAACGGCCAAAAAGAAAUAAACGAGAACCAUCACACUAGUACGUACGUAGUAGUAAGUAGCAGUAUCUACUCCCUCCGUUCCUAAAUGUUUGUCUUGAUCGGCUUUGGAGCUAGCAGAGCAGGUGGGAAUUUUUUUGACCCCCGCGUCGCCCCUCCUCUGGCGACACGGGGGACCCCUCGUCGCGCCGCCGCGCUCCUCCAUCUCACCUCCCUCAUGUCUCGCCGCCACUCGAGGGGGCGCCGACGAAGGCCACACGCACUCCAGGAAAGGUGGCGGCGGGCCACUUCUGCUGCUCCUCGCAGCCGUCUCGUUGGCAGAGGAGGGCGACGGGCCGUGCGGGAUCUUGCCGCUCGGAGGCGGGCGGGCGGCGGCGGCUUCCCCUCUGGCGCGGAGGUGACGGCUCGGGGCGUCGUCCGUGGCGCGUGGUGGUGCUGGCUGCGCCGUGGCCUGCAUGUCGCCGUGGUCUUCCCGUGGCGGGCGGGUCGGAUCUGGGGCCUCCCCUGCUCAGAUCCAUGAGCCUCGCGCCCACGGAUCCUCCUCGACCCCGUCCUCCUGUGCGACCGAAGCCGGGCGGCCGCAGAUCCGGCGCCGGCGUCCCCCCCCUCUACAUCGACAUCCCGUCCUGCGCCUCCACCCCGCUCGCCCUCCCCGUCCCCGCCGCCGCCAGUCCCUGCCGGGAAGAACAUCCACUCUGGUGCCCCGGCCCUCUGUCCACCUCCGACGCCGCCCCACCUCGUCUCCACCCUCCUCACCGGUGGCCUGCUCCACUUGUCCUUCCUUGGUUCACCAUCCGCCUCAUAUGUCGGUCUCGGUCCUGUCCUCUGUCGCCCUUCGACUCCACUUGGAUGGCGGCCCACCAUUGACGGAUGUGCUACGGGAGAAAUCCCCGCUGACCUUGUCAGCUGACCACGGAUGUGCUACGGGAGAAAUCCCCGCUGACCUUGUCAGCUGACCACGGCGGCGCUACUCCAGCGUCGCUUACCCUCUUGGGGGCGUGGCUCAUGUGCCAUUCCUGUCUCUCGGUCCGGAUUCGCAGCUCUCGGCUCUGCCCUCUGGGAAUUUAACCGGUUAUGCUCCAGGCGAAAGCUCUGUGACGGCGUCAUCCUCGGAUGUCGUCCACCUUCUUGAAGGCGUCACUAGGGAGCUCCUUGCCGCCAUUCAUCCUCCGUUGCUCUUGGGGGUUGGUCAUCCUCUGCUCUGCUAGCUCAAGACCCUCUCAUGCCUGUCGUCCGUUUUGGUGAGCUUCGUGCUCUUCGUGCUAUCUCGGUUCAUCUUUGCUCAACAACGACGCAAAGAUGCCUCCCCACCUUGCUAAUCGUGUCGGCUUGCUGUGGCGGAGUUUCCAGUUAAGGUUCGUAAUGGGUCACUCGUUGAUUGGUUCUGCUCCUCUGUUGUGCCAAGGGGUUGGUAUGCACACAGGUGUGGUGCGUUAGGAUAGUUGUUUAGUGUUGGUAUUGUGUUUCCUCGAUGACACACCACUUCCACUCGACUUUUAUGAUGGUGGUCUCUUGGCUUGCUGGCUAGGUAGUGCCUUCUUCGGGGCGUCCAUAUGCUCUCACCCUAUGUAAUCUUUCCCCCCUGUGUGGUUUUUCGGCCUGGUUUCCCUUAUAAACGGGGUCAACCUGUUAAGGUUUUCGAUCCGGUUUUCCUUAUAAACUGGAUCAAACACUUGGAAUUUUGGCCACUUUGAGCAAUAUAUUCAGGUGGGGAACCUCUCCCCUCCGGUGACCGUUCAAAAAAAA